RNAcentral lists this long non-coding RNA (54593 nucleotides) under Sorghum bicolor (sorghum). RNAcentral describes it as "long non-coding RNA (SBIC_LNC009307)". The stretch from base 19535 to 19641 matches the Rfam family "Plant small nucleolar RNA R71". The record is from RNAcentral. Lineage: Eukaryota; Viridiplantae; Streptophyta; Magnoliopsida; Poales; Poaceae.
UCUUUUGUGGUAUUUCUGGAUCCUUACCAAGGCAGUAAUGAUAUAUGCCUUCUCUCAAAGUAUGUGGUAUUUUUGGUAUGAGGCAUAGUGAUAUUGCCUUCUCUCUCACCCUACUCUAAUAAGGUUUUGAUAUCUGGAGCUCAUAGGUGGGAGACAGAUAAUACAUACUUACAAGACAUUUAUUGCAUAGUCAAACCAUGGAUCCAGAAGGACAAGUCAAUAAGUCAAAUCAAGAUAUGCAUGUGUAGCGAGUGAAUGGUGUAUGGUGAUGAUGGUGAUAACAAUGGUGAAAGUCUAAUUCUACUUUUACUCUUUUAAGGGGAUACAUACCUUUCUUGCACUUUGAAGCAUUUUGAGGAGAAUGAGAUGCUCUAUAUUUUCUUUUUCUUUUCUCUCAGGUGGGUAUCUUGUACCCCUAAUUCUAUGUAACACCCAAAAUUUGAUUUUUAAAUAAUAGGAUUUAAUUUGAUUUAUUUAAGUAUUUUUGUGACCAUUUAAUCUAGAAAAUAAGUAAUUUUUGGUGGAAAAUAAAAUUUAUCAUAAGUUUAGAAACUUGAAUUUUGCAUUUCAUGCUGGAGCAUAUUUAAUUCUGUGUUGUUGCCCUUUUUGUUUGAAUUCAUUUGAUUCAAAUUUCAUUUGAAAAAUGCUUUAGAAAAAGGAAUAAAAGAAAAAAAAGAAAAGGGGAAGGACCCCAGCCGAACCCCAGCUUUUCCCCCCUCCUGCGCGCGGCCCAUUUCUCUCCCCCGGCCCGGUUUCCUUUCCCCCCCCCGCGCGGCCCAGGCUCGCGCCUCCCCCCUUCUCCCAUCCGCUGACGGCCGGACCCCACCUCUUCUUUCACCGCCAGCCGGGUCCCGCAUGUCAGCGCACUGUUUAUCCCCUUCCUUUCUUCUUCACGUAACCUAGCCGGCUUCUCUCCCUCACCGAUUUGGAAACAAACCUCCAAUCUCAGGAUUCCUUGCCAAAUCACGCGCAACUGAGCCCUAUAAAGCUCUCUAUCCACCCCGAAUCCCUAUUUUCGCAUCCAAAUCGCCCUAAUACACCCUACCUUCGCUGUUUGGAUCUUGCCGUGAGCCACGCGAAGCCGCCGCCGUGACGCGACCUCCCCACCCUCUUUCGGCUCGAGUAAACCAUCUAGGUGGGUUCUCCUCCUCCCCCUCGACCCCCCGGUGCUUUUCCUUCAAGAAACGGUGUUCGGAAUCGGCCAGGUAGCAAGCUCCGGCGAGCUCGGUCUCCCCGGCCAUGGCGCCACCGCGCUGGAGGCCAGAGAGCCGGCCGGCCCGCUGCCCGGUGACCCCUGGAGAAAUCUCGGCCGUCGGAUGGAGAUCGGAUGGCCCGCAAAUGAAGAUACCCCUUCGUUAGAAAUCUUUCUAAAGAGUCCCUGUGUUCUUUUGCAAUUUAACCCACGGUCCUUUACGUACUUUCCCGUUUACGCUUUCCAGUUUUAAAAGCGUAAUCCUGUCCGGUUCAAUUCAAUUUACGCUUUCGAUUAUUUACAGUUUUGCCAUCAAUUUUAUAUUGCUCAUAAAAUACUCAUUUUAAUUCUGUUUUUGUCCAUUCAAAUUUCGUUAGAUUCGUAUUUAUGAGCUCUACAUGUUAGAAGUAUUUAUUCUCUGUAUUGGAACUCUUUAAUUCUGCAGUAGCAUUUAAUUAAUUAUUUCUCUAUAGGAAAUCUUAGAAAAUUCAUAACUUCUAAGUUUAAAUUCCGAUUUUCGUGAACUUUACGUUUGUGUGAUCGUAGCGCUGCUAGAAUAUUUUCAUAAACUUUAUCUUUGGUUUCUCAAUGUUGGUGUAAUGUUCUAAUUAUAGCUUGUUUGCUUUGUGUAUGAUUGACUACAUUGGAUUGCGUGUUGUUGACUGAUGUUUGGGAAUAGACGGUGAGCCGUACGUUGGUGAUCAAGACCAAGCUUUCGAAGACCAGUAGGCUCAGGAGAGCUUUGAUCAAGGCAAGUAUAACUUGGGAUCAUCCUUGUUGCCUAUUCACUUAUAACUACACAUAUAUGUCAUAUGCAUGCUAUCACCUUGUCGACCUUAGCAAAAUCAUAGAUGAUUGUUACCUGGAUUCCUUGCUACCUACUUGAUAUGCAUUUGUUGUAGAUGUGCUAGUGCUUGAUAUAAUCCAUGAUCUUGUAAGAUGAUUAAUAGCUAUGCAAUGAACAUAAAAGAAUGACAAAUAACUGUAUGAGAUCUUGUCUGUAAGUGACCACCGGGACAACAGUGCAACCAUGAGGGCUAUAGUGGCUCUGGCUUUAGCUCAGUAUGAAGACCUUUUCUAGCUUGUUAGAGGUUACCCGAAAGGGCAGAGGGGCUGAACCGUUUUGGGUAUAGUGCGAGCCCCUGUCCCUAUGUGUAUAUGCUGCGCGUCAUUGUGCCAUUCGGAAGGGGGUAUCUAUAUCUGCGCGCAAAGGAAACCUUGCGGCCCUAACAAGUUAGACAAACUUUUGAAAGGCUUCAUAGUGAUCCCUGCCGACCUCCCUAGGAAGGGGGUUAAGAGAUUAGCUACCUCGGGCGAAAGGGUAAAUCAUGAUUCAUGGGUAAAGAUGUACAACCUCUGCAGAGUGUUAAAACUGGUAUACUAGCCGUGCUCACGGUUAUGAGCGGCCUUGGGGGUUCUUGCUGCGCCGACGAUGAGCUUAUUAAGUUGUUAUGUCCAUUUGAUUAUCGUUUAUGCUAUGGAUUAAUUAUGCUUACACUUGAUCAUGUGAUUAAUGGAUUAUUUAUGCUACCUUGACAUUUGCUAUUUAAUUAUGAAUAUGCUAUCCACUAUUAAAAGCUAAAUGCAGUCAAACCAGUGUAACAUCCCUGAUGUUACGGUUACUAAACUGGACCAUGUCAUCAUAAGCAUUGCAUAGCAUAUUGUUUAAGCACAACUUGAUGCACCAACUUAAAACAAGUUUAUUUUGAUUGAUUGUGCUUAGGGAAUUAAAGUGUGCUUACAUUGUGUACUGAUGCUUGUGUUGGUUGCUACAACCCUAGGGUGAAAGAUUUCCGAAAGAUUAGGGGGGAAAACCCUGAUUUUAAAACCCUAGAUUUACCCCCUUUUGUGCAAUUUAAAAACCAAGCAAAAUUUGAGGUUGAGUUCAAAAGCAAAGUUGUAGAUCUUGUUAAGAUGUACAACUUUUGUGUUUUGAGUUUUUGAAGUUUCAAUAUAAAAUUCAAAUUAAUUUUGAAAAUACAGAUUUCCAAAAAGUGUCCCCUUUUCCAAUUUGAACCUCCAAUUCAAAAUCUAUUUGGAAUUUUGAAAAGUGACCAACAUGAAAAUUGUAGAGCUCAAAAAGAUGAACAACUUUCAUGUUGGGAGUUUUUCAAGUUGUUAUGGAAAAUCAAAAGUAACUUUGGAAAUUCUGAUCUGCCCCAACUCAAAAAUUUGAAUUUCCCCAAAUUGAAAUUUGAACUUCAAACUGUUUGGUCAAAUUCACCAUGUUCCACUCAAAAUUAGCUUUGGUCACCAAAACAUGUUUUGUACCUUAUAAAAUUCUGAACAACUUUUGUUUUGGUGGAAUUUUGGCUCCAGUUCAAAUUAUAGGCGAAUUUUGCAAAACAACAGAACAAGUGGAUAUGGCUUGCUAUAGUGCUGAGCAGGGGGGGUGCUCUGCCGCCGGAACAGAGCCGCUGCGUCCGGCGCCACCACGCGCCUGGCCACGCAGCUGCUUGCUGCUGUGCCUCGCUCGGACGUCCUCAUCCGCAGCGCGCACUCCGUCGCGUGGAUAAAGCCCCGGGUGGCCGGGGUAUUUCCUUUCCUUUUUCUGAACCUCACCGCCGACGGCCACCAGUCGACACCAAAAUCCACCGUUGCCUUAGCUUCUUCAUCCACGAGCUCUUGCUCCCAACUCUGCCAAGAACCCCGCAACCGUUUGCGCCCCUGAGCGCAAGCUCUACCCUACCGUAGCUCCAACCCGAGCCGUUCUUCUCCAACCCCGGCCAAAACGCCGCCGCGGACACUCCACCGUGGCCAGCUUCACUCCAAGCCUCUCCACUGCCGCUUCUUGCUCCGUUGGAAUCGCGAUGAGCCACCGAUGCUUUUGCGCUGGUCAAUUCGCGCUCUACUCGAUCGUAGAGGCCGGCGUCUGCUCGGCCGAGGUAGCCGCCCGCCGCGCCCGUGGCCAUGGGAGCUAGACUAGGAGAGAGCGAGGGUUUAGGGGGUCCAGAGGUGCGCCUUGAAGUGGAGAACGCGACCAGCGAGUCGCGAGGAGCGAUGAUGGCGCGGAUGGCUCGGUCGCGCCGUCGAUUCGGCCGGCCGGAGCUUGAAGACGAAGCUGACAGCGGGGGCCCGCUGUCAGCGACGCCUGAGUGGAGGCGAGGGCGCGCGCAGUGCCCGCGUGGGCCGAGCGCGGACAGGCCGGCAUGCGGGCCGAGUUCCUGGGCCGCUCGUGGCAGUGUUGUUUUUCUUUUUCUGUUUAUGCAAAAUUUGAUGUAUGUUUGAAUUUGAAUAGAAAAUCAUAUGUUGAUUCAAAAAUAAUGAAACUUUUUGUGUAAGUUCUAUAAAAUAAAUAGAACAUAGGAAAAAUAUUAGGUUCUAUUUUCUGGUAGUUUGCCUGUGUAUAAAAAUUGCCUCUCUAAUUUAGUGCAUAAAACUUCUAGGAAUUUUAAUAAUUUAUUGAUAUGUCCAAAAAUCACCAAAAUUUGUGAGAUGCCUCUGAAUAUUAUUCCAUGGCUUCACACAAAAUUUGGUGGCAUUUGGAUAAUGUUUGAAUAAAAUAAUAUUAAACCCUUAAUUAGUAAUUAAAUAAUAAUUCUAGAAUAAUCAGAUAAUAAUUAGUUAAAUUCUCAAAAUUAGGGUUUUAGUGAUUUUGGGAUUAUGUGAUGACCUGAGGUCAUUAACCUAAUGACCUUUGGCAUUUAAUUAUUGUUUGGCUUUAAUACUCAAUUGUUGUUAUUAAUAUUUAAUUAAGAAUUAUUUAAGAUAAAAGGGUUAAUAAUUAGUUAAUUAAGAAUAAUUAUGAAUUAAGAAAAGUCCUAAUUUACAGAUGCAACCUCUUGGGUAGAGACACUAAGAUGUUAGACAACUUUAAUUAUUGUUUAUUCUGUGUUGCACCGAGGAGGCCAGUUAUACCUAACUUGGUCCCUUUUUGCAUAUUCGUCAUACGCAUAUCAUGAGCAUUCAUCAUUUUGCGUAUAGUGCCGGUGACCGAAGGAGCGACCGUUGAACCGAACCCCGAGGUCGGUGCUCCGUUCGAGGAAGUAGGAUCCGAGACUUGGGAAGUCUCCGAGGGUCCCUCUCAGCUCUGCAACCAAGGCAAGCCCCGGAUGCAUUAACCCUUCCUUAAAUGUUUUAAAUCUUUUAUCACUUAUGAAUUGAAAAUGCUGCAUUAGGUAGACGAGAAUUGGGUUAACCUACUUGCUGCAUUUACUACCUUGAUAUUUGUUAUCUUGUCCUUUGCACCUGUUUCAAUUGAAAACCGCGUAGUAAUGCUUAGCCCUGCUACUAGAUAGGUUUUCAAACAAAGUUUGAAGGGUUGUUGUGGAAUACACGUAUGAUCAAUGAUGUUUCAAUUUGAGACCGGUCGGUGGACUUGCUUUAAGAAUGGAGUCUUAAAGUAGUGUCUCCAACUGUGUCGAUUAAGGACCGUUCCGUUGAUGGCCUGCUAGGUUGAGAAUUUAUAGUACUAGCCACUUGCCCUCGGUAAGCCCGAUCUUGUAAUCCCUCGACGCGAACAGCUACUCGCGCACUGGGCGUGGAGCGAUGGCGAGAGUAGCGUGUACCCACCUUACGGAUCUGAGAUGACUGGGAAACGUCUAGAUCGGCGGUAGGAUGGUGGGGUACUGUGCUCUCGGGUGCCGCGAACCUGGUCAAAUUUGGGGAGAGCUAGAGUUGGGUUGACAUAUGCAAGAUUUGGUUCUACAUAUGUCGGGUGGUUAGGAACUCCAGCUGGAUUGCUAAGCGAUUCGAAUCGUCGUUGCUCCCCGAUUGGGAGACUCAAUUCCUUCGACCCUCAUCGUAGUUAAUUAUGCAACUAAAGGAUAAAAUAAGAAAGGGGAAAAUGUCUCAUGAGGUUUGGAUCCCAAUUCCCGGACUCAGAGUGACAUGAAGCUAUGGCCGUUGGAUAAAUAAUACUUUGAUUACGGAUUAGGAACUUAUAGACUUGUCUGUGAGAAGCAACUAGAUAGACUGUCCUCGAACUCCUCGGCCUCUUUAGGAGAGGAAUUCGCGGGUAAAACUUGAAAGUAAGGAUGCACUAUUAGUAAGCUUUUCCGCAAAACACUUUGGCUCCUUGCUCAACCACCCCUUGUCUACCCUAAGCCUGCAUCCCUAAUUUCUCCUCUUUUUCUACCGGGUAAGUCUUGUUGAGUACUCCCGUACUCAGGGUUUUAUAACCCCUGUUGCAGGUGAAGCUCAAGAGCCGACUUGUUUCGGACCCUGUUGUGUGUCCGUCGUCGAGGUUGACGACGAGGAAGAGUGAGCGUGACCCAUGGGCAGGGUCUGUAAAUUUGUAAUCUCUGUAUUAAAGUUUAAGUUGCUCCGCUGGACCUGGCUUGUAAUAACACUCUACUAUUUGGAAGAACUACUCUUGUAAAUUAAGUUAUGCAAUACUUCCGCUGUUUACUCUGAAAGCUUAUUUUGGUCUUGUGUCGUCUGUGAUACUGCAUUGUCUUCGCAACGAAUGAUCCUAGUGUUAAGGUGGCCACUUGCUAUCCUGUAAGGGAGAGAAGAAGAAGUUCUCGUUAAUUGACCAUCGCUAGUGGUCAGGACGAGUUCGCUUGAUACUCCACAGGUAGCGGUGGGAUGAGCGUCCUGAGAUGCUCAUCGGAUUCCUAGAGUGGGAGGAUCCCCGGCAUCACCGUCAGAGGUCCUUGGGACAAUGACAGGUGUCGGUGGGCCCAAACACUUAGGAGGUUCUACCACAGCUGGUAUCGGAGCAUUCGUUGCUAGGAUGACUGCUGUAUCCUUUGAAAAACUUCAAAACGCAUUUGGAUCCAAUACUAUAAACUUGCCUAUUUUGAGUCCAAGUGCUUUAGUCCCAUCUUACCCCUGUCUGUAGGCCUUCUUAGAAUUUUUGAAGUGGUACGGAGGAGCAACAUAAGGUAUUGCCCUGUGUUAUAAAGUUUUAAGUAAUAUUGUUACGAAUUCCUAGUACGACUCGUAAAUUCGUGCAUGCAUCAUGAUAUAUUACUUGGUUAUAGUUCCUUCCUCCUUGUUUGGGUUGGGUUGCAUAGAAUCAAUCCCCUUCUUGCUAACCCGUAAGGUCUCUCUUACUAAUCCAAACUUACCCUCUAUAGGAUGGGCCGUUGGAAACAGACCCCGCGCAAGAGGACUGGUCCAAAAGGGGUUCCUAAACACCAGAUGGCCCCGCGAAGCGAUCAAGCAAGCAGUAGCUGUUCACCAUCUCAGCAGGAGGUGGAAAGAUUGUCCACCGAGCUGACCGAAGUGAUGAGAGAAAGGAUGUACAACGUCAUGGAGAUCGGUGAACUUAAAGCUCAACUAACCAAAGAAAAACAAGCCACAGAGAACUGUGAGGCCAUGCUGUCCCGUAGGGUGGAGGAGAGGAAUGCCGCUAUUGCCCGAGAAGAGGAAGCCAGGAGUGCACACAGGCACGAGCUGACCAGGAUGAAGGCAAAGCUGGACAAAACCAAGUACCUUAAAGAUCUGUACAUGAAGAUGAUGGCCACGGUCACCGCGCAGCGGGAUGUUGCGUGGCAGCGGGAGGACCAUCUCCAGUUGGAGAAGCUAGAGCUGGCACAUCAUUUAGACACCGUCAACGACUUGGCAAUGCAAUAUCAUGAUAUUGCAUUUGACCUUUAUCAUCAGCUCCAUCCACCUCCAAGCGAAGGAGAGAUGGAUACGGAUGGAGAGUUGGCGGAUGCUGGGGAACCCGACCAAGACCUCAGUGACAGGGAGGAAUCUGACUCCGGUGAUGACAACCCGGGGGGUAAUCAUGACGAUGGCAAUGACGACCCGGGCUACAGCUCUUGCCACACCGACUAGUUCGGUGAAGCUGCGGGCAACGUCGUUGUAGGAUUCCUAGUUUACCGUAGUGGGGUCGGGUUUGUAGUAUAGAGUUUUCUUUCAGUCUAAGAAGUUGUACUCGUUUGUUUCUAGUGUGUUGAACUGAUGUUUGAUAAAUAAAUGGAAGUAUGUAAGAUAUGUUCUAAGUUAUGAAUUUCAUGUAGUAACAAGUACUUAUAACUCUUGUAGCAGAUGCCGAUGCGUACACGAGGAUCUGAUAGAGCCGGGACGUCUCAGGGAGGGGAGGACAUCCCCAACCCUCCACCUGCUCCACCUUCUCUGGCUGAUGCCAUUGCUGUCCUUUUGUGUGCCACUACUGACAACGCUCGCUUGCUGCGCGAGUUAGCACAACGCCAACCACACCCCGCCCCAAACUUCAGGGCACAGCACAAUGGGGACGGAGAAACUCGGUACGUGGACUUUACCGAGACAAGGCCCCCGGUAUUCACCAAGGCUGAUGAGCCGUUAGAAGCGGAUGACUGGCUCCGGACCAUGGAGCACAAGUUCAGUCUGAUCCGAUGUUCGGAAACUCAGAAGCCCCUGUUCGCAGCUCAACAGCUUCGGGGAGCUGCGCGUGCCUGGUGGGAGAACUUUCUAGCUAUCCAAGCUCUGGGACACCAGGUUACCUGGACAGAGUUUAAGGACGCGUACCGCGCCCAUUACAUCCCUGAAGGGCUUAUGGCCAUGAAGGCCGAGGAGUUUCUCGCCUUGCAGCAAGGCGAUAAAAAUGUCAUGGAGUACGUGGCAAAAUUUAAUCAUCUUUCUCAAUAUGCCACAGACCAUGUGAACAUGGAUAGAAAGAAGAAGGCCUGUUUCAUGUGUGGUCGAAAUACCAAACUUCAGACCAUGAUGACCACCUGUCAAAAUGCUACCUUCUAUGAGGCAGUAAAUAUUGCCAUCGCCUCAGAAGAAAAGAAUAGAAAGCACAAAGAAGCCAAGAAGAAGGCUGCUUCUUCCUCCUUCUCUGGUCGUGGUCAAAAGCGCCAGAGAAUCAUUUAUCAUCCACAGGGCCACGGACGCUUUCCAGCGCCGUCACCUUAUCGUGGUCCCUUUUCCCCACCACAAUAUAGACCAGGGCAGCAGGUAUACCCUCGACCUACUGCCAUCACCACUGCACCACGCCAGCCGAACGCCCUAGGUGUUCGUCCCACUGCUCCGCCCAGCCACAAUUAUCCUUGUUUCAAUUGUGGUAAGCCUGGGCAUUUUUCUAAGGAAUGCCCUUACCCCCACCAAACCAACCCCACCUUCCAAAGGCCACCCACUGGCCAACCCCAGCCAAGCCAAUUCAGGACUGGGGCUCAGAAAGGACAACAUGUGCAAAGGGGUAAACCCGUAAAGAAAGCGGGACAAGUCUUCCAUACAGAGGUGGAGACGAUCCCGGAGGGAGAACCAGUAAUGAUGGGUACAUUUCCUGUUGCGAAACAUCCUGCUUUAAUGCUUUUCGAUUCUAGUGCAUCUCAUACAUUCAUCAACCGCACCUUUGUGAUAAAGCAUGGCAUACCCAUUGGGGAAACACAAGAUCAUUUUUAUAUACAUUCGCUAGGAGGACGGCUGAGUUCUAAAGAAAUGGUUCACCAGGUACCCAUCAAAUUUGGUGGGCAUAGUUUUCCCACUAGCAUGAUUGUUCUUAAAGACCAAGAGAUUGAUGUCAUACUAGGCAUGAACUGGAUGGCACAACGAGGGGUUGUGCUAGACACUUUGCAUCGAACCAUUAAAAUACCAUUGCCCAAUGAAAAUUCUUAUUUGCUAAUUCAAUUAGUUACUCCCAAGCGGGCAAUUGGGCAAGUUCAUGCCACUAAUGUGUGUGCAGUCCAAGAUAUCCCGGUAGUUCGGGAUUUUCCGGACGUGUUUCCUGAAGACCUACCAGGUCUGCCCCCGGACGGAGAUGUCCAGUUCAGUAUAGAAAUGAAACCAGGGACAGCCCCAAUAUCUCGAAGGGCCUACAGAAUGGCACCGAAAGAACUGGCCGAAUUAAAAACCCAACUACAAGAGCUGUUGCAGAAAGGUUUUAUUCAGCCUAGUUCUUCUCCAUGGGGUUGUCCAGCCUUGUUUGUGAAAAAGAAAGAUCAAACACUAAGGCUGUGUGUUGAUUAUCGUCCCCUAAAUGAGGUGACGAUUAAGAACAAGUACCCAUUGCCCCGUAUUAACUUACUAUUUGACCAGUUGGCCGGGGCCAAAGUGUUCUCAAAAUUUGAUUUGAGAUCAGGGUACCACCAAAUUAAAAUUAGGCCGGAGGAUGUACCCUAGACGGCUUUUACAACCCGUUAUGGGCUGUAUGAAUACUUGGUGAUGUCUUUUGGGUUGACCAAUGCACCGGCCCAUUUCAUGUACUUGAUGAACUCUGUCUUCAUGCCAGAACUGGACAAAUUUGUGGUCGUCUUCAUUGAUGACAUCUUGAUCUAUUCAAAGACUAAGAAAGAACAUGCUGAACAUCUGAGAAUUGUGCUAACCCGUCUCAGGGAGCAUCAGCUAUAUGCCAAGUUCAGCAAAUGUGAGUUCUGGCUGGACAAAGUCCAUUUCCUGGGUCAUGUAUUAUCAGCGGAGGGAGUCGCUGUAGACCCAGGUAAAGUAGAAGAAGUGUUGAAUUGGAAGCCCCCGACUACGGUACAUGAGGUCCGUAGUUUUCUGGGUAUGGCGGGAUACUACCGUCGUUUUAUCCCGGACUUUUCCAGAGUCGCUAAACCAAUCACGACCUUGCUCAAGAAUCAAACAAAAUUUGUUUGGUCACCGCAAUGUGAGCAAGCCUUCCAGACUCUGAAAAGAUUAUUGACAACUGCACCUGUCUUAGCCCAGCCAGAUAUUGAAAACCCCUUUGAUGUGUAUUGUGAUGCAUCAGGGAUAGGGAUAGGCUGCGUGCUAAUGCAGGAGGGUCGCGUAAUUGCAUAUGCUUCCAGGCAGCUCAAACCACAUGAGGAGAAUUACCCGACCCAUGAUCUAGAAAUAGCCGCCGUAGUACAUGCAUUAAAGAUCUGGCGCCAUUACCUGUUGGGAAGCACUUGUCAUCUAUACACAGAUCACAAGAGCUUGAAGUAUAUCUUCACUCAAGCUGAAUUGAAUAUGCGCCAGCGAAGGUGGCUAGAGUUGAUUAAAGAUUACGACCUUGAGGUGCAUUAUCACCCUGGCAAGGCGAAUGUAGUAGCUGAUGCCCUCAGUCGUAAGGCUCACUGUAAUUGCUUAACAGUGACGCCUAGAGAUAUAACCUUGUGCCAAGAGCUAGAGAACUUGGGGAUAGAAAUGAUUUCCCAAGGAAGCCUUGCCAAUCUAAAGAUUGAUUUCAAUCUCGAAGCUCAAAUCAUAGAGGCACAAAAGGAAGACAAAGGUAUGAAAUAUCUUAAAGAGAAAAUUUCUAAUAGAGCACCCACAGACUUUAAGGUGGAUGAUGCAGGAGUAAUCUGGUUCAAAAACCGGUUAGUGGUUCCAAAGGUACCUGAGCUACGUCAGCAAAUCCUGGAUGAAGCUCAUACUACCAGAUAUUCUAUUCAUCCGAGGAGCAAUAAAAUGUAUCAGGACCUAAAGCAAAGGUUUUGGUGGACGAAGAUGAAGAUAGAAAUAGCCCGCUAUGUGGCCCAAUGUGACACCUGCCGAAAAGUCAAAGCUAUUCAUCUCAAAUCCGCUGGAGAGUUGCAACCUUUGCCUAUUCUAGCAUGGAAAUGGGAUGAUAUUAGUAUGGAUUUCAUAGUGGGAUUGCCCAAGACGGCCAAAGGCUUUGAUUCAAUUUGGGUCAUUGUGGAUCGUCUCACCAAAACAGCACACUUCUUGCCUGUAAAGACAUUAUGUCCUACCUCCACCUAUGCUAAGAUUUAUUUCGAUCGUAUACUAAGUCUACAUGGGGUGCCAAAGACAAUAGUGUCAGAUAGAGGCACACAAUUUGUCUCCCAGUUCUGGAAAUGUUUACAUGAAUCUUUGGGCACCAAACUUUUAUACAGAACAGCCUACCACCCUCAAACAGGUGGGCAAACAGAGAGGGUAAAUCAAACCCUAGAAGAUCUAUUAAGAUCUUGUGCCCUGAAUUUUCCAGAUAAGUGGGAUGACUGCUUGCCUCUAGCAGAGUUUUCUUACAACAAUAGCUACCAAGAGAGUAUCAAGAUGGCUCCUUUUGAGGCACUAUAUGGCCGUCGAUGUCGAACUCCGUUACACUGGUCGGAACCCGGAGAAAGAUGGUUCUUCGGGGUUGACUUAGUGAAAGAAACUGAGAACAAAGUUAGACAAAUCCAAAAUAACUUGAAAGUUGCUCAGUCCCGACAGAAAAGUUAUGCUGAUAAAAGACGUCGACCCUUAAGAUUCGCCAAAGGUGACCAUGUAUAUCCGAAAGUAUCCCCAAUGAAAGGAGUAAAUUGUUUUGGCGUUAAAGGCAAGUUAGCACCUCGUUACAUUGGUCCAUUUCCAAUUCUUGACCGAUGUGGACAGGUAGCUUACCGCCUUAAACUGCCCGAACGAUUAUCCGGGAUACAUAAUGUAUUCCAUGUAUCUCAACUAAAAAAGUGUCUUCGGGUACCAGACCAAGUUCAAGAUAUCAAGGAUGUGGAACUUGAACCGGAUCUGACUUAUGCAGAAUACCCUAUCCGAGUAUUGGACCAAAGAGAUAGAGUUACUCGAAGAACAACUACCAAGUGGUACAAGGUGCAAUGGAGCCAGCACUCUGAAGAGGAAGCCACAUGGGAAUCUGAAGAUUAUCUAAUGGAGAAUUUUCCUGAGUUCUACGCUUCUCUUCAAGACAACAUCUGAUAAAUAGGAAGUGUACUCUAGUGAAGGAACAGAGUAGCCAAAGCCAUGUACUUAGUGUACAUACAUGUUUAUAAUUGAGUAGUCUUCCCCAGCUUCUUGUCUUAUGAAAAGGUUGGAGACGAAAUAGUUUGACACAUUUCCUUUUCCAUUACAUACCCUAAGGCUUUAAAUCUCGGGGACGAGAUUUCUUUAAGGGGGAAGGGCUGUAACAUCCCUGAUGUUACGGUUACUAAAACUGGACCAUGUCAUCAUAAGCAUUGCAUAGCAUAUUGUUUAAGCACAACUUGAUGCACCAACUUAAAACAAGUUUAUUUUGAUUGGUUGUGCUUAGGGAAUUAAAGUGUGCUUACAUUGUGUACUGAUGCUUGUGUUGGUUGCUACAACCCUAGGGUGAAACAUUUCCGAAAGAUUAGGGGGGAAAACCCUGAUUUUAAAACCCUGGAUUUACCCCCCUUUUUGCAAUUUAAAAACCAAGCAAAAUUUGAGGUUGAGUUCAAAAGCAAAGUUGUAGAUCUUGCUAAGAUGUACAACUUUUGUGUUUUGAGUUUUUGAAGUUUCAAUAUAAAAUUCAAAGUAAUUUUGAAAAUACAGAUUUCCAGAAAGUGUCCCCUUUUCCAAUUUGAACCUCCAAUUCAAAAUCUAUUUGGAAAUUUGAAAAGUGACCAACAUGAAAGUUGUAGAGCUCAAAAAUUUGAACAACUUUCAUGUUGGGAGUUUUUCAAGUUGUUAUGGAAAAUCAAAAGUAAUUUUGGAAAUUCUGAUCUGCCAUAAUUCAAAAAUUUGAAUUUCCCCAAAUUGAAUUUUGAACUUCAAACUGUUUGGUCAAAUUCACCAUGUUCCACUCAAAAUUAGCUUUGGUCACCAAAACAUGUUUUGUAGCUUAUAAAAUUCUGAACAACUUUUGUUUUGGUGGAAUUUUGGCUCCAGUUCAAAAUUAUAGGCGAAUUUUGCAAAACAACAGAACAAGUGGAUAUGGCUUGCUACAGUGCUGAGCAGGGUGUGCUCUGCCGCCGGAGCAGAGCCGCUGCGUCCGGCGUCGCCACGCGCCUGGCCACGCAGCUGCUUGCUGCUGUGCCUCGCUCGGACGUCCUCAUCCGUGUUGGGUAUUCUUAACAUCAUUACCAAAAGUAGACUAAGUUCUCUAAAUCUAGUAACGGUGCCAAAAAUGCCAAACCUAUCCCUUACACCACUUAAGCCAAGUUGUCAUCCCCAGCAUGAUAUAAGAGACGCGGUAUUGAAAUAUGCAAUUGCUCUUCUAAAUAAAUAAUGAAUGGGAUCUGCAAGCGCACAGAUUAAUACCGAUGCAGCAUUUUAACCGGGAAGUAUUCCAGGUAUCGUUAUUUAUAUUUUUACCACUGGGAAGGGAUUAGCAAUCAUCACUACUGAUUACAGAAUAGAAUAUGAGAUUGAGCAUCUAUCACUGCAUGUAUAAUUGAGAACAUUAUAUCUAACUCUUCACACAGGGAUAAGUGUCACAUAAAAGAUAUAUGAAAUAAUAAUAGUGACAAGGAUAACUAAUAUGAUCUAGCCACAUAAUAAAUAUGAUAAGCACCUCAAUUAGAUACUCUAGAAAGUCAUUAGCAUGGUAUUAGAACGAACUACAAGAAUAUUCCCUAAGUUAUUCUCAACUAUAUAGUCUAGCAUAUCAUAGUUAGUGCAAGCAUACUUAGCAAUCAUUGUGAGACAAGACUACGCCCAUGCAUAGUGAUAUUAGCAAGGAAUAUGAGAAACAUAGCAAUCACUCCCCUGUAAUAAUGUUGCUCUGCCAGCCCAAUACACGAGAGGGGGACUAUAUAAGAAUCAAUGAAGCUGUCACUAUCACGAACCACCCCACGAUCUGGCAUAUUGGGUACAAUCGCAGAUAAAUACGGUAUAAGCACCACGCCUACACAAUAUCUAUCAUUUACCCAUGGAUCCAAUGGAUAAACGCUAUACGAUCCUAAGCAUGUAUAUAGAUCCAAUCUAACUAAGCCAAGUACAUAACUAUGAUAAACUAAGAACAAUAUAAUCUUGAAUAUAAGCAAGUAGAGCAAAGUCAUAAGCAAUAUAUUGAAGUAGAACAAAGUCAUAUUCAUAAUAUUGAAGAACAAAGAUAAUUAGAAAGCAAUUAGAAGCACAAUUAGAGAAUUACCAAGAAUCCUCCUGACAGAUCCGGAAACCAAUCGAAGAUUGACUCCUUCUAGUUCUAAUCCUAUGUAGCUAUGCUAAUCUAGAUAUCUAAUUGAUGUGGUGGCUCUAAUCUUGAUCAGAGGCUUCUUCUCCCUUGAUGGAACAAUGAAUUAGGGUUGUGAGGCUCCCUCCUCUAGGGGCCAGGGGGUCUGGUUUUAUAGUCCCUUCAAGUGAAUAUGAGCCCUUGGAUCAAACCGACAUAGAUUGUAUGGUUUAGAUUCAUCCUUUAGGUCGGUGGAGACUUUCCGCAAAGCAGAGUCCUGUUUGGACUUGGGGGUAGGGCGGGCGCCCAGUAGGACAGGGCGGGCGCCCUGUCUCUGGCCCCGUUUCGCCUCCGCUUCGGUCUCGUGGCUUCUGGAGUCUUCUAGAUGUAAGAUAAUUGCGCGGCACGUUAAUAUCUUUACGUAAUCCUGACAUGUGGGCCUUUCUUCCAUAUUUCCUGAUAACCCCCUGCAGAAAUAGACAAACACCAAAACUCGUGGAAUUCUGUCAGAUAAAACCCUAAGUCUAGAUCUUGAUUUCAUUUGGAUCCUUUUCUUUAUUUAUUUGAUAAUUAAAUUUGAUACUUAAGGACCGUCAACAAACUCCCCCAAGCUUACCUCUUGCUCGUCCCUGAGCAAGGAUAGACUCAGCUAUCGAUCAGAAGUUGCUGCAAUAUCUUUAAAAAUUGACGGUACACAUGCUUUUAAAUAAGAUCUCAUCUCUGAGUUAGAGUAAACUGUCAAGACUUAAAACUUACUUACUUUACCUCCACUAUGGGACUUGUAACUGUCACUUCUGUCUUGAGUGGUUAAAAGAUAGAACAGUCUAGCCAAGUGCCAUGUCUCUUAUUCUUGAUCAGCUAUAGCUCUGGGGUUUUUGCAGAUUUUCAAAUAAAACUCAGAGAUUCCUUGUAUGAUUCUCUCAGGUCUCUCUUUUGUGGUAUUUAUGGAUCCUUACCAAGGCAGUGAUGGUAUAUGCCUUCUCUCAAGAUAUGUAGUAUUUGUGGUAUAAAGCAUAGUGACAUUGUCUUCUCUCUCACCCUACUCUAAUAAGGCUUUAAUAUCUAGAGCUUAUAGGUGGGAGAUAAAGUAUACAUACUUACAAGACAUUUAUUGCAUAGUCAAACCAUGGAUCCAAAGAAACAAAUCAAUAAGCCAAAUCAAGAUGUGCAUGUGUGGCGAAUGAAUGGUGUAUGGUGAUGAUGGUGAUAACAAUGGUGGUGGAAGUUUAAUUCUACUUUUCCUCUUUGAGGGGAUACAUACCUUCCUUGCUUUUUGAAAUUUUAUGAGGAGAAUGAGAUGCUCUUCUUUUUCUUUUCUUUUCUCUCAGGUGGGUAUCUUGCACCCCUAAUUCUACUGUCGGACACUUGUCCAUUUUUACCUCUCGUCUCACUUUUUCUUUUCUUUCGAGGUUCCGAGCACUUGCUCCUUUUUAUUUCCUCGUAUCUUUUUUUCUCUUUUUUUUUCCAGAGCAUUCAUCUCUUGAGAUAAUAUAGCAAGUGGUAGUAACAAGAUAACUUGAGCAUUUAUUUCACAAAGGGAAAACAGAAAUAUUUUUGGUUAUUCUCUCCUGGAUUAGGAGUAGAAUAUUUUUGGGUGAUUCUGGAGAUGGAAUGGGUGGAUAUAUGUGGAUGGUACUUCCGGAGUAGAAGUAGCAUAUAUGAGUGAACGUGCAAGUGAAAUCUUGAUUUAACCACAUGACAAGCUCCUAAGGGUCUACACAGCUUGACCACACUCAAUGCUCAUAAGCAGUAAAUAAUAAAUGUGUGGCUCAAAGUCUAGCAAGCAUGUAUAUAUGGCUAUGGUAGGAAUUUAAAACUCUCAUCAUACAGGAACUCAUCAUGCAACAUUUUUAAAGAUUUUCAAAGAUAAAAUUCUCCAGAAUUCUAGCAUCUCUAGGAACAGAUAAACAGCAGCUCAACCUUCCCAUAUCAUAUCCGUUAACAACUUAGACUUUAGAUCAAGUUUUCAUCCCACAAGUUUAGGUCUAGAGCAAGCUUUAAAUUAUAACAGUUAUAUCUAAACUUGAGAGAAAACUUAAAAUGUGCAAAUUAGGCAGAGCAACUAUUCAUCAUAUCCAUGCUUAAGUUUUAUUUAGAUACAGAUUAGCAUAGCCACUUUAUUUAUUUAUUAAACACACUAAACAAAAGAUAUAUAUAUAAGCAUAAAAUCUUUAUUUGGUUUUCCAUAGUUAUGUAUUUUAAUAUUCUAAAAUAAUAUAAAUAUAAAGAUAGAUAGAUAGAAAUACUUAUCGAUAUAAAUGGAGGUGCUCUCCCCCAAGCUGAAUUUUGACGUAAUUUCUCUUGAUGUAGCUAGCAGGUGGCAGAGGUGUAUUUGAAAGUCAGCAGCAUUCUGACAGCGAUUAGAAUGUCCUUCGUCUGCUAGUCUUCUUGUUUCUUAAAUCCUGUGGAGCUCAAAUAGACAACAAAGCUUGUGGAACUAAUUAAGUGUUAGCAUAAAUAUCUAGCCUUCAUCAUCGUGAGACUCCUUAAUAAUUAUUACUCCCUGUUUUUAUAUUUUUGUUUUAUAAAGCAGAAAAAUAUUUAUUUUAUUUUUAUGCCACCACAGUGAAUGUACUUAUGGGUUUUACUCCACUCGUCUACUCACAUGGGGCUUACUGUUUUUCACAAUUUUAUUUUCUUUUGAGAAUAGCACGAACAUAGUAAACUAGUUGAAAUAAUUUGAAAAGGAAAGGAUAACUACCAAGUUUACCUCUUGGUAAGGCGUUCGGUGUUUUUAAGUCCUCCGAACGGGACUCUCCAUUUUCUCAAUCGUCCUGAGGUUCGUUGAGUGGCGUAGUCGGUACUUCCGGCAGCGCCUCCUCUUCUUGUAUAGUUAUCUUCAUUUUCCAUACCUGACUCGGUGCUUCAAUCUCCUCUGGAUAAUUCUGUUUAAACUCUACGUCUUCUGACCUUACAACUUCUCCUUCAUAGUCUGCCCAUCCGUCCUUGAUGAUCUGCCUCCUCUGGUUGUGGUUGCGUCUCUUCCUGACCUGCUUAGAUUCUUCAACGAUAUAGUUAGGGUCAGUAAAAUAACGGCGUACCUUCUCUGAGGGGAAGUGCAUAUGGACUUCUCCGGUUCCAAUGUAGAUAAUUGUUUUAACGGUGCUGAGGAACGGUCUUCCAAGGAUGAUGGGUGGAUCAUACUCGUCUUCUCCCAUGUCAAUAACUUGAAAGUCUGUGUAGACAAAGUGAUCGUCUAUUUUGACUGGGACAUCAGAUACUAUUCCUUUAACUUCUCGAAAUGUUUGAUCUGCCAUCUGAAGCUGAAUGUAUGUUGGUCUUAGUGGCAUGGUCCCGAACAAGAGCCGAUAGGUGACUGCAGCCAUUAUAGGCAUUCUUGGGUCGUCCUUCUUGGUCAAAAACGGUGACUUAAGUUGGUGAUCUUGGCCUCCAUGAACUACAGUGACCAUCUUAGCUGACUUGGUCCACACUUGCUCGUUCCUGUUCCUCCUGUUGGUCCUCUUCCUUGAUUUACGUCUGGAUUGAUCUGGAAUUUGUGUAGUCUUGUUCUUGAAGAAAAAUGUCUCCUUCUUCCCUUUGACGUAGAAACUGAUCUUGGCAGCACUGGCGUAGAUGAUAGCUCCCGUGGUGUUCAAGAAUGGCCUCCCUAGGAUGAUAGGUGCUCUCUCAUCAUUUCCGGUCUCUACCACUACGAAGUCUGCUGGGGCAUACAAGGUACCAACUCGGACACAAAGGUUCCUCACGAUUCCUUUUGGGAAAGUUAUCGUCUGAUCUGCAAACUGCAAACACAUGGUUGUCUCUAAUAAAGGAUAUGUAAAGAAUUUUUCAUAGAGUACCCUGGGUAUAAUGUUGACACUGGAGCCAAAGUCACAGAGUGCUUCUGGGACAUCCACCAUGCCGAUGGAGAUCGGAAUGACGGGGCGUCCUGGAUCGCCUCUCUUGACCGGCAGAAGGUCAGUAGAGAAUUCAUUGACGGGGUUACUCCAAUUACCUGCAUCAAACAUGUCUACAAGAUUUGCAGAUUCUAAUCCUUCCGGUUGUGAUGGUAUACCGGGAUUAGUAGCAGGAACAGCAGCAGCUAUUUGAUUUACUGAGAUUCAAUCAUUUUAUUAAAGCUAAUUUGAUUCUUGAUGGCAGUAGAGAAAUUAUCCAUUCUAUUAUUUAUAUUUUCUAGCAUUUUAUCAUUAGAUGCCACUUUCUUAGAUAGGUUAUCCAUUAGCUUUCCUUGAUUAGACACUAACUCUCUCAGAGGUGGAAAAUUAUUAUUGUUGUAAGAAUUGUUACCUUGAUAAUUACCUGAGUAGUUAGGCCUCUGUUGAUUCCAACCUUGAUUUUGUUGAGGACGGUUGUAGUAGUAGUUGUUGUUGUUGUUGAUGUAGUUCACAUCCUCAAGCAUCUCAGGGCAGUGGUUGCCUGAGUGUCCAGUGUCUCCACACUCCUCACAAGUCAUGUGAGAGUCGUAGAUGUGCAUAACUUCUUUCUUGUCUCCAGCUCUAUCAUCGAGCUUCUUCAUGAGUAGGUCUAGCUUUGCAGACAACAUGUCUACCUCCUUCAGCUGAUGCAUACCUCCACCUCUCUUGCGUGUCUGGGUCCUCUCUUCAUUCCAACUUUGAUUGGACGCCAUCUUCUCCACAAGAGCUGUGGCUUAUGGUAUAGUAAGUGAUAAGAAUGCUCCUCCAGCUGCAGCAUCCAUGGUUUCUCGAGCACUGUUGCUGAGCCCAUGAUAAAAUGUCUGCAUCAAUAGCCAACUCUCCAUUCCAUGAUGGGGACAUUCUAGGAUGUAGUCUUAAAAGCGCUCCCAUGCUUCUGGAACAGAUUCAUCAUUUUGUUGCUGAAAACUUCUAAUCUUCCCACGGAGAGCAUUGGUCUUGCCCAUGGGAAAGAACUUUGCCAGGAAGUUUGUUGAGCAGAGUGCCCACGUAGUAUUCUUCUCCUUUGUAGCGUAGAACCACUGCUUCGCUCUUCCUAACAGUGAGAAUGGGAAGAGGCGAAGUAGUAUAGCGUCUUUGGAAACUCCUGCUAUAGUGAAUGUGUUGCAAAUCUCUAGGAAGUGUUGUAAAUGAGCACUAGCAUCUUCGUGUGCCUUCCCACAGAACUGGUUGGAUUGCACCAUGUUGAUAAGUCCAGGCUUGAGCUCAAAGUUGCCAUCGAUCUCUGCAGCAGGUCCAGUGCGGAUGUUGUCCGUAGUGGGAGCUGAGAACUCGCGGAUUGAUUUGUUCGCCAUGGCUUCGAACUCUGAAGACAAGUUCCGGUGAUCUUCUUGAUUAGAUGAAGCUUCUUGCUGAAGUGUUGAUGAUUUCUUGAGCUUGGCUCUCGUCUUCUUGAAUAAUGCUUCGGGAUUGUCAACAAAAUUUCCUGGAAGAUGUCUUCUAUUCAUACAUUCCCCUGCAUAAGAUAAAAUAGAAAAAUAUCGGGGUAAAACUGUAUGAGAGAAUAGAUAAGCUCAAUCAUAUUAGUGAUGCGAAUGAUAACUCAAAAUCUUUUAUUCCAUUCCUGAUUGGUAAUCAACCUUCCCCGGCAAUGGCGCCAAAAAAUGCUUGUUGGGUAUUCUUAACAUCAUUACCAAAAGUAGACUAAGUUCUCUAAAUCUAGUAACGGUGCCAAAAAUGCCAAACCUAUCCCUUACACCACUUAAGCCAAGUUGUCAUCCCCAGCAUGAUAUAAGAGACGCGGUAUUGAAAUAUGCAAUUGCUCUUCUAAAUAAAUAAUGAAUGGGAUCUGCAAGCGCACAGAUUAAUACCGAUGCAGCAUUUUAACCGGGAAGUAUUCCACGUAUCGUUAUUUAUAUUUUUACCACUGGGAACGGAUUAGCAAUCAUCACUAUUGAUUACAGAAUAGAAUAUGAGAUUGAGCAUCUAUCAUUGCAUGUAUAAUUGAGAACAUUAUAUCUAACUCUUCACACAGGGAUAAGUGUCACAUAAAAGAUAUAUGAAAUAAUAAUAGUGACAAGGAUAACUAAUCUGAUCUAGCCACAUAAUAAAUAUGAUAAGCACCUCAAUUACAUACUCUAGAAAGUCAUUAGCAUGGUAUUAGAAUGAACUACAAGAAUAUUCCCUAAGUUAUUCUCAACUAUAUAGUCUAGCAUAUCAUAGUUAGUGCAAGCAUACUUAGCAAUCAUUGUGAGACAAGACUACGCCCAUGCAUAGUGAUAUUAGCAAGGAAUAUGAGAAACAUAGCAAUCACUCCCCUGUAAUAAUGUUGCUCUGCCAGCCCAAUACACGAGAGGGGGACUAUAUAAGAAUCAAUGAAGCUGUCACUAUCACGAACCACCCCACGAUCUGGCAUAUUGGGUACAAUCGCAGAUAAAUACGGUAUAAGCACCACGCCUACACAAUAUCUAUCAUUUACCCAUGGAUCCGAUGGAUAAACGCUAUACGAUCCUAAGCAUGUAUAUAGAUCCAAUCUAACUAAGCCAAGUACAUAACUAUGAUAAACUAAGAACAAUAUAAUCUUGAAUAUAAGCAAGUAGAGCAAAGUCAUAAGCAAUAUAUUGAAGUAGAACAAAGUCAUAUUCAUAAUAUUGAAGAACAAAGAUAAUUAGAAAGCAAUUAGAAGCACAAUUAGAGAAUUACCAAGAAUCCUCCUGACAGAUCCGGAAACCAAUCGAAGAUUGACUCCUUCUAGUUCUAAUCCUAUGUAGCUAUGCUAAUCUAGAUAUCUAAUUGAUGUGGUGGCUCUAAUCUUGAUCAGAGGCUUCUUCUCCCUUGAUGGAACAAUGAAUUAGGGUUGAGAGGCUCCCUCCUCCAGGGGCCAGGGGGUCUGGUUUUAUAGUCCCUUCAAGUGAAUAUGAGCCCUUGGAUCAAACCGACAUAGAUUGUAUGGUUUAGAUUCAUCCUUUAGGUCGGUGGAGACUUCCCGCAAAGCAGAGUCCUGUUUGGACUUGGGGGCAGGGCGGGCGCCCUGUCUCUUGCCCCGUUUCGCCUCCGCUUCGGUCUCGUGGCUUCUGGAGUCUUUUAGAUGUAAGAUAAUUGCGCGGCACGUUAAUAUCUUUACGUAAUCCUGACAUGUGGGCCUUUCUUACAUAUUUCCUGAUAACUCCCUGCAGAAAUAGACAAACACCAAAACUCAUGGAAUUCUGUCAGAUAAAACCCUAAGUCUAGAUCUUGAUUUCAUUUGGAUCCUUUUCUUUAUUUAUUUGAUAAUUAAAUUUGAUACUUAAGGACCGUCAACAAUCCGCAGCGCGCACUCCGUCGCGUGGAUAAAGGCCCGGGUGGCCGGGGUAUUUCCUUUCCUUUUUCUGAACCUCACCGCCGACGGCCACCAGUCGACACCAAAAUCCACCGUUGCCUUAGCUUCUUCAUCCCCGAGCUCUUGCUCCCAACUCCGGCAAGAACCCCGCAACCGUUUGCGCCCCUGAGCGCAAGCUCUACCCUACCGUAGCUCCAACCCGAGCCGUUCUUCUCCAACCCCGGCCGAAACGCCGCCGCGGACACUCCACCGUGGCCAGCUUCACUCCAAGCCUCUCCACUGCCGCUUCUUGCUCCGUUGGAAUCGCGGUGAGCCACCGAUGCUUUUGCGCUGUUCAAUUCGCGCUCUACUCGAUCGUAGAGGCCGGCGUCUGCUCGGCCGAGGUAGCCGCCCGCCGUGCCCGUGGCCAUGGGAGCUAGACUAGGAGAGAGCAAGGGUUUAGGGGGUCCAGAGGUGCACCUUGAAGUGGAGAACGCGACCAGCGAGUCGCGAGGGGCGAUGAUGGCGCGGAUGGCUCGGUCGCGCCGUCGAUUCGGCCGGCCGGAGCUUGAAGACGAAGCUGACAGCGGGGGCCCGCUGUCAGCGACGCCUGAGUGGAGGCGAGGGCGCGCGCAGCGCCCGCGUGGGCCGAGCGCGGACAGGCCGGCCUGCGGGCCGAGUUCCUGGACCGCUCGCGGCAGUGUUGUUUUUCUUUUUCUGUUUAUGCAAAAUUUGAUGUAUGUUUGAAUUUGAAUAGAAAAUCAUAUGUUGAUUCAAAAAUAAUGAAACUUUUUGUGUAAGUUCUAUAAAAUAAAUAGAACAUAGGAAAAAUAUUAGGUUCUAUUUUCUGGUAGUUUGCAUGUGUAUAAAAAUUGCCUCUCUAAUUUAGUGAAUAAAACUUCUAGGAAUUUUAAUAAUUUAUUGAUAUGUCCAAAAAUCACCAAAAUUUGUGAGAUGCCUCUGAAUAUUAUUCCCUGGCUUCACACAAAAUUUGGUGGCAUUUGGAUAAUGUUUGAAUAAAUUAAUAUUAAACCCUUAAUUAGUAAUUAAAUAAUAAUUCUAGAAUAAUCAGAUAAUAAUUAGUUAAAUUCUCAAAAUUAGGGUUUGAGUGAUUUUGGGAUUAUGUGAUGACCUGAGGUCAUUAACCUAAUGACCUUUGGCAUUUAAUUAUUGUUUGGCUUUAAUACUCAAUUGCUGUUAUUAAUAUUUAAUUAAGAAUUAUUUAAGAUAAAAGGGUUAAUAAUUAGUUAAUUAAGAAUAAUUAUGAAUUAAGAAAAGUCCUAAUUUACAGAUGCAACCUCUUGGGUAGAGACACUAAGAUGUUAGACAACUUUAAUUAUUGUUUAUUCUGUGUUGCACCGAGGAGGCCAGUUAUACCUAACUUGGUCCCUUUUUGCAUAUUCGUCAUACGCAUAUCAUGAGCAUUCAUCAUUUUGCGUAUAGUGCCCGUGACCGAAGGAGCGACCGUUGAACCGAACCCCGAGGUCUGUGCUCCGUUCGAGGAAGUAGGAUCUGAGACUUGGGAAGUCUCCGAGGGUCCCUCUCAGCUCUGCAACCAAGGCAAGCCCCGGAUGCAUUAACCCUUCCUUAAAUGUUUUAAAUCUUUUAUCACUUAUGAAUUGAAAAUGCUGCAUUAGGUAGACGAGAAUUGGGUUAACCUACUUGCUGCAUUUACUACCUUGAUAUUUGUUAUCUUGUCCUUUGCACCUGUUUCAAUUGAAAACCGCGUAGUAAUGCUUAGCCCUGCUACUAGAUAGGUUUUCAAACAAAGUUUGAAGGGUUGUUGUGGAAUACACGUAUGAUCAAUGAUGUUUCAAUUUGAGACCGGUCGGUGGACUUGCUUUAAGAAUGGAGUCUUAAAGUAGUGUCUCCAACUGUGUCGAUUAAGGACCGUUCCGUUGAUGGCCUGCUGGGUUGAGAAUUUAUAGUACUAGCCACUUGCCCUCGGUAAGCCCAAUCUUGUAAUCCCUCGACGCAAACAGCUACUCGCGCACUGGGCGUGGAGCGAUGGCGAGAGUAGCGUGUACCCACCUUACGGAUCUGAGAUGACCGGGAAACGUCUAGAUCGGCGGUAGGAUGGUGGGGUACUGUGCUCUCGGGUGCCGCGAACCUGGUCAAAUUUGGGGAGAGCUAGAGUUGGGUUGACAUAUGCAAGAUUUGGUUCUACAUAUGUCGGGUGGUUAGGAACUCCAGCUGGAUUGCUAAGCGAUUCAAAUCGUCGUUGCUCCCCGAUUGGGAGACUCAAUUCCUUCGACCCUCAUCAUAGUUAAUUAUGCAACUAAAGGAUAAAAUAAGAAAGGGGAAAAUGUCUCAUGAGGUUCGGAUCCCAAUUCCCGGACUCAGAGUGACAUGAAGCUAUGGCCGUUGGAUAAAUAAUACUUCGAUUAAGGAUUAGGAACUUAUAGACUUGUCUGUGAGAAGCAACUAGAUAGACUGUCCUCGAACUCCUCGGCCUCUUCAGGAGCGGAAUUCGCGGGUAAAACUUGAAAGUAAGGAUGCACUAUUAGUAAGCUUUUCCGCAAAACACUUCGGCUCCUUGCUCAACCACCCCUUGUCUACCCUAAGCCUGCAUCCCUAAUUUCUCCUCUUUUUCUACCGGGUAAGUCUUGUUGAGUACUCCCGUACUCAGGGUUUUAUAACCCCUAUUGCAGGUGAAGCUCAGGAGCCGACUUGUUUCGGACCCUGUUGUGUGUCCGUCGUCGAGGUUGACGACGAGGAAGAGUGAGCGUGACCCAUGGGCAGGGUCUGUAAAUUUGUAAUCUCUGUAUUAAAGUUUAAGUUGCUCCGCUGGACCUGGCUUGUAAUAACACUCUACUAUUUGGAAGAACUACUCUUGUAAGUUAAGUUAUGUAAUACUUCCGCUGUUUACUCUGAAAGCUUAUUUUGGUCUUGUGUCAUCUGUGAUACUGCAAUGUCUUCGCAACGAAUGAUCCUGCUGUUAAGGUGGCCACUUGCUAUCCUGUAAGGGAGAGAAGAAGUUCUCGUUAAUUGACCAUCGCUAGUGGUCAGGACGAGUUCGCUUGAUACUCCACAGGUAGCAGUGGGAUGAGCGUCCUGAGAUGCUCAUCGGACUCCUGGAGUGGGAGGAUCCCCGACAUCACCGUCAGAGGUCCUUGGGACAAUGACAGGUGUCGGUGGGCCCAAACACUUAGGAGGUUCUACCACAACCAGUGUCAGCUUUUGGAGCCUCAUGAACCCCUGGUUAUAAUUGUUGAGUACGAUAUGUGCUCACUCUUGCAAUUUCCCAACACCCCAGGUUAUGCUAAUGAAGAUGACUGGAAUGAGGAUUACCGUUAUGAGUACUAGGUUUGGAGUCAACCAGUCAAUAGUGUCCCUGUGUGGAGCUUCCGUCGAGAGCGUUGUUUACUUUAUGCUAUCAUUUUUGUAUGAGACUAUGUGAUAUCUUAUAUUCUGCUAUGUAAUAAACAAUGCAAUGGUACAUUUGAGAUUUGUCUACUUAUGUGUGCGACUGUUUCUGGGGCACAUAUGAGUGUUUUAUGCAUCCUAUUUUGUUCUCAAAAUAUGGGUGUGACAAAUUGGUAUCAGAGCUUUGUUUACUGUCGGACACAAGCCUAGUUAGAAAUUGGUCGUAUUAAGGUUUUGAAAUUGCUGUAAAAUCCUUGUUCUAUAAACCUUGAUAUUUUCCUCUAUACUAUAUCCUUUUCUUUGCUAUUCAUCCUCACUUUGAUGCUUAUUUUAAAGACUUGUUCUCACCCCACUCCUUGCUUUGAAUAUGCUUUUAGAACUUUUCUUACCACCUUCUAACGUCAUUGAAAUAGGAACUAUAGGAUCUUUGCCCUUAAUAGGAAGAGAACGUUAGUACCGCAAGUUGAGUCAAUUCUUGAAGUGUGAACUUUUGAUGCUUGGUUUGGUUUGUUAUUAUGCUUAUGCUUGAUUUUGAUUUUUGUAAUGAGUGCUGGAACCUUGUGGGCAUAUCCACAAGUUCCCUAGUUAAGAACCUUAAGUAAGAACAUGAAUAAAUAGUGGUUUGGGGGCAUAUCCUGCUUCUGUCCUUGCUGAUCUCUGGAGCAGUCUGCAAUAAAUCUGGUACAUCUCAAAAUCUGUUCGUGCAAUGUUCAUCACAUUUUUCUGGAGACAAGUAGACUUUCAUAUCUUUCUAAUGCCGCAAGAAUGACACUAAAAUCUGUUAUGGUCUGUGAGAUACAACUGUUCAAAGUUGAAGUUUCUGCGCAGUCUGGAAUUCUGGAACAGUUUUGGUUAUGACCAGUUUUGACUAAUUUAACAACAGAAUCUGUUAAAAUGAUCUAAAUGAAAGUUGUAGAUAAUUGCUUUAUCUUUCCAACGGUGUAUAGAAUGUAUCCUUUUGGAUUAUGGAACUUGAGAUAUGACUGGUUUUCUGAUCUGCUGAUGUUGGAUAUUCCCCAGAAAAUUUCAGAUUCCGUUAACUCUUGUAAUUGUCAUGUUGGACAUUACUAAGAUGUGUUUGUAUACCUUGGAAUGCAUAUGGCAGCAAGGGGAAGAGGCAGAGGCAGAGGCCGUGGCAAUGACAAUGGUGGCAAUGCCCCAAUCGCAGUGAGGAACUCAUGCAAACCCAAAAUGAGAUGAUGCACGUUUUCAUGCAGCACCUACAGCAGCAACCUCCACCAACACCACCACCUGUUCAUGUGAGGGAUAAGCGUAGGGAGUUUAUGAAGGGAAGACCUCCGAUAUUUACACACUCAGCUGAUCCCAUGGAGGCAGAUGAUUGGUUACGUGCUAUGGAGAGGCAACUGAACAUAGCACAGUGCAAUGACUUGGAGAAGGUGUUGUAUGCUUCUAGACAGCUUCAGGGGGCAGCUCAGACAUGGUGGGAGUCAUAUCAAGUUGCUCGUCCCAACAAUGCUCCUCCUAUCACAUGGCUGGAAUUCUGUAGAGACUUCAGAGCUCGACAUAUAAAUGAAGGAAUGAUGGAGCUCAAGCAAGAAGAAUUCAGAUCUCUUAGGAUGGGUUCUAUGUCUGUGGCUGAGUAUCAUGACAUGUUUGAGCAGUUGGCUCGCUAUGCCCCAAACGAAGUUAGAGAAGAUGCUGACAAACAACGUCUCUUCAUGAAAGGUCUCUACUAUGAACUUAGGUUGCAACUAGCUGGAAACACAUAUCCUACCUUCCAGGCUCUGGUAAACCGUGCUAUUGUGUUGGAUAACAUGCGUAAAGGUCAAGAUAAUAAGAGGAGGAUGCUGGCACAAGGUUCUGGAGGCAACAACCGCCAACGUUUCAAUUCUCAGCAGGGCGAUCAACAGAGGUACCAGGGACCGGUUGGUCAAUGGGAUCGCAACCAACAAUCCCAGCGUAAUCCUAAUCAACAACAGAGUGGACAGCAGACUUCCCGCUCAGGAAAUUCAAAUGCCACCUCUAUGAAGAGAAGUGCUCCCAAUACCCCUACUAGGUGUUUUCGCUGUGGAAAAGAAGGUCAUAUGUCAUAUGAUUGCCCGAAGAGAUCCAACCAGCAGAACAACAAUAAAAAGUCUAAUUCUCAUGGAGCAAAGGUGAACCAUGUGGCUGCAGAGACAGUACAAGAGGGACCGGAGAUUAUGAUGGGUACGUUCAGUAUCAACUCUAUACCUGCUACAGUUUUAUUUGAUUCUGGAGCUUCGCAUACAUUCAUAUCACAAGCAUUUGUUAGAGUUCAUAGCAUACCACUAGUUGCCAUGAAAACCCAUAUGCUAGUAAACUCACCGGGAGGGACUAUACCAGUUUCAUAUUGUUGCCCCUCAGCAAGUCUUUCUUUAAGGGGGUAGAUUUCCCGGUUAGACCCAUGGUUAUGAGAACCUCAGGCAUAGAUGUGAUAUUGGUUUUGGAUUGGAUGAAGAAAUAUGCUACGAAAAUUAAGUGCAAAGAGAAAGUAGUAGUUGUGACAACACCUAAGGGAGAGAGAAUCAGUGUGGAUGUAGCAGUGCAGGCUCCACCCACAGCUACAGUGAAUCAGCUGGAUGAUGGUGUUGAUCUUCAGGACUGUGUAGAGAAUAAAUUUUUAGAUAAGUUACCAGGUAUGUUACUUGACUAGAGACAUGAAUUUGCUAGUGCAAUGGAAUCGGUUGUUAGAGGCAGAAGCAACUUGGGAAAGAGAUGAUGAUCUGAGGAAAUCAUACUCAUACUUGUUUGAGUAAACACCUUUCAAUCUCGAGGACGAGAUUCUUUUAAGGGGGGUAGAGUUUGUAACACCCAAAAUUUGAUUUUCAAAUAAUAGGAUUUAAUUUGAUUUAUUUAAGUAUUUUUGUGAGCAUUUAAUCUAGAAAAUAAGUAAUUUUUGGUGGAAAAUAAAAUUUAUCAUAAGUUUAGAAACUUGAAUUUUGCAUUUCAUGCUGGAGCAUAUUUAAUUCUGUGUUGUUGCCCUUCUUGUUUGAAUUCAUUUGAUUCAAAUUUCAUUUGAAAAAUGCUUUAGAAAAAGGAACAAAAGAAAAAAAAGAAAAGGGGAAGGACCCCAGCCGAACCCCAGCUUCCCCCCUCCUGCGCGCGGCCCAUUUCUCUCCCCCGGCCCAGUUUCCUUUCCCCCCCGCGCGGCCCAGGCGCGCGCCUCCCCCCUUCUCCCAUCCGCUGACUGUCGAACCCCACCUCUUCUUUCACCGCCAGCCGGGACCCGCAUGUCAGCGCACUGUUUAUCCCCUUCCUUUCUUCUUCACUUAACCGAGCCGGCUUCUCUCCCUCACCGAUUUGGAAACAAACCUCCAAUCUCGGGAUUCCUUGCCAAAUCACGCGCAACUGAGCCCUAUAAAGCUCUCUAUCCACCACGUAUCCCUAUUUUCGCAUCCAAAUCGCCCUAAUACACCCUACCUUCGCUGUUUGGAUCUUGCCGUGAGCCACGCGAAGCUGCCGCCGUGACGCGACCUCCCCACCCUCUUUCGGCUCGAGUAAACAAUCUAGGUGGGUUCUCCUCCUCCCCCUCGACCCCCCGGUGCUUUUCCUUCAAGAAACGGUGUUCGGAAUCGGCCAAGCAGCGAGCUCCCGCGAGCUCGGUCUCCCCGGCCAUGGCGCCACCGCGCCGGAGGCCAGAGAGCCAGCCGGCCCGCCGCCUGGUGACCCCUGGAGAAAUCUCGGCCGUCGGAUGGAGAUCACAUGGCCCGCAAAUGAAGAUAGCCCUUCGUUGGAAAUCUUUCUAAAGAGUCCCUGUGUUCUUUUGCAAUUUAACCCGCGGUCCUUUACGUACUUUCCCGUUUACGCUUUCCAGUUUUAAAAGCGUAAUCCUGUCCGGUUCAAUUCAAUUUACGCUUUCGAUUAUUUACAGUUUUGCCAUCAAUUUUAUAAUGCUCAUAAAAUACUCAUUUUAACUACGUUUUUGUCCAUUCAAAUUUCGUUAGAUUCGUAUUUACGAGCUCUACAUGUUAGAAGUAUUUAUUCUCUGUAUUGAAACUUUUUAAUUCUGCAGUAGCAUUUAAUUAAUUAUUUCUCUAUAGGAAAUCUUAGAAAAUUCAUAACUUCUACGUUUUAAUUCCGAUUUUCGUGAACUUUAUGUUUGUGUGAUCGUAGCGCUGCGUAGAAUAUUUUCAUAAACUUUAUCUUUGAUUUCUCACUGUGGGUGUAAUGUUCUAAUUAUAGCUUGUUUGCUUUCUGUAUGAUUGACUACAUUGGAUUGCGUGUUGUUGACUGAUGUUUGGGAAUAGACGGUGAGCCGUACGUUGGUGAUCAAGACCAAGCUUUCGAAGACCAGCAGGCUCAAGAGAGCUUUGAUCAAGGCAAGUAUAACUUGGAAUCAUCCUUGUUGCCUAUUCACUUAUAACUACACAUAUAUGUCAUAUGCAUGCUAUCACCUUGUCGACCUUAGCAAAAUCAUAGAUGAUUGUUACCUGGAUUCCUUGCUACCUACUUGAUAUGCAUUUGUUGUAGAUGUGCUAGUGCUUGAUAUAAUCCAUGAUCUUGUAAGAUGAUUAAUAGCUAUGCAAUGAACAUAAAAGAAUGACAAAUAACUGUAUGAGAUCUUGUCUGUAAGUGACCACCGGGACAACAGUGCAACCAUGAGGGCUAUAGUGGCUCUGGCUUUAGCUCAGUAUGAAGACCUUUUCUAGCUUGUUAGAGGUUACCCGAAAGGGCGGAGGGGCUGAACCAUUUUGGGUAUAGUGCGAGCCCCUGUCCCUAUGUGUAUAGGCUGCGCGUCAUUGUCCCAUUCGGAAGGGGGGUAUCUAUAUCUGCGUGCAAAUGAAACCUUGCGGCCCUAACAGGUUAGACAAACUUUUGAAAGGCUUCAUAGUGAUCCCUGCCGACCUCCCUAGGAAGGGGGUUAAGAUAUUAGCUACCUUGGGCGAAAGGGUAAAUCAUGACUCAUGGGUAAAGAUGUACAACCUCUGCAGAGUGUUAAAACUGGUAUACUAGCCGUGCUCACGGUUAUGAGCGGCCUUGGGGGUUCUUGCUGCGCGGACGAUGAGCUUAUUAAGUUGUUAUGUCCAUUUGAUUAUCGUUUAUGCUAUGGAUUAAUUAUGCUUACACUUGAUCAUGUGAUUAAUGGAUUAUUUAUGCUACCUUGACAUUUGCUAUUUAAUUAUGAAUAUUCUAUCCACUAUUAAAAGCAAAAUGCAGUCAAACCAGUGUCAGCUUUUUGAGCCUCAUGAACCCCUGAUUAUACUUGUUGAGUACGAUAUGUGCUCACUCUUGCAAUUUCCCAACACCCCAGGUUGUGCUAAUGAAGAUGACUGGAAUGAGGAUUACCGUUAUGGGUACUAGGUUUGGAGUCAACCAGUCAACAGUGUCCCUGUGUGGAGCUUCCGUCGAGAGCGUUAUUUACUUUAUGCUAUCAUUUUUGUAUGAGACUGUGUGAUAUCUUAUAUUCCGCUAUGUAAUAAACACUGCAAUGGUACAUUUGAGAUUUGUCUACUUAUGUGUGCGACUCUUUCUAGGGCACAUAUGACAAGCUCCUAAGGGUCUACACAGCUUGACCACACUCAAUGCUCAUAAGCAGCAAAAAGUAAAUGUGUGGCUUAAAGUCUAGCAAGCAUGUAUAUAUGGCUGUGGUAGGAAUUUAAACUCUCAUCAUAGAGGAACUCAUCAUGUGUUAUUUUAAAUAUUUUCAAAGAUAAAAUUCUCCAGAUUUCUAGCAUAUCUAGGAAUAGAUAAACAGCAGCUCAACCUUCCCAUAUCAUAUCCGUUAACAACUUAGACUUUAGAUCAAGUGCUCUUCCCACAAGUUCAAGUUUAGAGCAGGUUUAAAUUAUAACAGUUAUGCCUAAACUUGAGAGAGAGCACAAACUUGAAAACUAGGUACAUGGCAAAGCAACUAUUUAUCAUUUCCAUAUGAGAGCUUAUCAUGAGGGUUGAUAGCAAACUUUAUUUAUUUAUUUAUUUAGCAAACUAAGCAAAGAUAUAUAUAUAAGCACAAAAUCUUUAUUUGGGUUUUUUAUGAUUAUGAAAUUUUUUAUUAUUUGAGUAAAGUAUAAACGCGAGUAGAAACACUUAGCUGGAUAAAUGGGGGUGCUCUCCCCCAAGCUGGAUUUUGACGUAAUUUCUUCUGAUAUAGCUAGCAGGUGGUGGAGGUGUAUUUGAAUGUCGGCAGCACCCUGACAGCGAUUACUAUGUCCUCCGUCUACUAGUCUUCUUUGAUCCUUGAAUUCUGUGGAGCUCAAAUAGACAACAAAGCUUUGUGGAACUGGUUAAGUGUUAGCAUAAAUAUCUAGCCUUUAUCAUGUUGAGCCUCCUUAAUAAAUGUUAUUUAUUUAGCACGAUCAUGCACUUAUUAUUUUUAUAUUUUUAUUGUAAGAUGAAAACAUAUUUAUUUUAUGCCACCACAGUCAAUAUACCUAUGGGUUUUUAAACCACAAGUCUACUCACAUGGGGCAUACUAUUUUUAACAUUUUUAUUUUCUUUUCAAGAUAGCAUGAACCUGAUUAACUAAGCAAACUAUUGAAAGGAAAAGGAUAACUACCAAGUUUACCUCUUGGCAAGGCGUUCAGUGUUUUAAGUCCUCCGAAUGGGACUCUCCGUUUUCUCAGUCGUCCUGGGAUUCGCUGGAUAGCGUAGUCGGUGGUUCCGGUGGCGCCUCCUCUUCGUGUAUAACUAUCUUCUCUCUCCACACCUGACUCGGUGCUACGGUCUCCUUAGGACAAUCCUGUUCAAGAUGUAUAUCUUCAGACCUUACCACUUCUCCUUCGUAGUCUGCCCAUCCGUCCUUGAUGAUUUGCCUCCUCUGGUUGCGGUUGCGUCGUCUUCUUCUUGUCCUCACUUGCUUAGAGUCUUCAACUAUAUAGUUAGGGUCAGUAAAAUAGUGGCGUACCUUCUCGGAGGGGAAGUGCAUGUGGACUUCUCCAGUUCCAAUGUAGAUGAUAACUUUGAUAGUGUUGAGGAACGGUCUUCCAAGGAUGAUGGGUGGAUCCUACUCGUCUUCUCCCAUGUCAAUGACCUGAAAAUCAUCUGGAGCUGAAUGUAUAUUGGUUGUAGGGGCAUGGUUCCAUGCAGGAGCUGAUAAGUGACUGCGGCCAUUAUGUUGACGUCAGAUCCGGUGUCGUAGAGUGUCUUCUGAAAAGAGUAUCCGUUGAUUGUGCACUCGAUGCUUGGAACACCAGGGUCACCCUUCUUGAUCAGGAAAGGUUACUUGAGUUGACGAUCUUGACCUCCUCUGACAAGGAUCUAAUGUUUUAAGUCUUCUGGACAAGACUUUUCACCGUCUUCAUCCUUUAGGUGCAUCAUUUGAUUAGUUGUGGACCUUGACGUCUGCACCUCUUGAUACGGAGUCACCCAUGUUCUUCGUUUGCCUAGCAGUUCGAAGUGUCGUGUUGGCAAUAUCCUGCUCAUUGUGUUUGUGCUCGUAGAUCCAGGUCCUUCACUUGGUGGAGUCUAGGAGUUGUAAAACUUCUCCAUGUUUUGCUUGAAGUGUACCUGUUCAUAGAGACAAGGCAGAGAUCAAGUGCAUGGGCCCUGUUGGUGGAAAACACCAACAGAACCAAAAGUGUAUUUGUUCUUCUCUAACCUUAAGCGUAGUGAGCAAGACAAAGUUGAUGGAUCAUGAGUGUAGCAUUUGAAACAUUUGUCAGAUCAGAUGGCUCAACCUAAUUGAAAGAUAAUCUAUCUAUAUUUAUGUUUUGUUUAUAUCUUCCAAAGAUUGAAUGUGCAACAUUUUAGCUUAUAUGAUUAGGAGUGUGGGAUCACGAAGGUAGUACUUAAGAACAAAGAUUAAAGGACUAACAUGUUGAAUUAACUGGGUUGGUUAAUUUAUGUUUGUCUCUUUAUUCAUCUGUAUGCCAGAACCAAGGAGAAGCUUAUAAAAGUGAUAGUCAAGUACCUUAAGGUGUUACCUUACUUGAAGAGUGAUGGUAUAGUAUCACCUUGUGGAAGCUUUCCUUUCUUAGCGGUUGUGCAUCGUGUUUGUGGCAUUCUUUGUCUCGUUCCAUGGAUCAUCUCUCUAUGACGAAUGAGCUAUGUCUUCCUUGUGCAAAUUGUUAAACUUCAUGUGUCUCCUUUAUCUCCAAUAUGUUUGUAUAUCAGGACUUCCCAGGUUGAUAUUGAAAGUUUUCCUGCAGGGGUUAGUCCGACAACAUAUACCAGUGCCUACUCAAGCAGUUUUUAGUUCAGUUACCAAACUAGACUCCAUGUCUAAUCAGAUUAAGGAAGGCUAUUUAACCUAAGCACCACGCUUAAUUUAAAAGCCAAUAGAAGUAUGUACAGUACUUCCAAACUAACACUUACUAAGAUAAACAUAGGUAGCAUGAUGGCUUUUAUAGAGAUCUACUCAAGUGGAGAUGAAGUAGUGUGGUUAGUAUUUAACAAAUUGAGCAUGUCUCAAAGGUAAGGACAACCAACAUAGCAACAUGGCAAAAGAUGUUUUUAUGUAAAGUACUCCCCCAAGCUUGAAUUUUGCAAAAUUCAAGAUUGGAUGAAUUUAAUUCAAUGUUGUGUGAUGGUUGGUUGGACAUACCUUGUGCUUGUCAUUCAUCCGAUCUUCUUGCUCCAAUCCUAGAAAGGUUAGUGACAAGAAUACCUGAAGGAAUAUUUAUACAAUUAUCUUUAUAUGCUCAAUACACAAGGAAAUGUUGCAAAUAAUUAAAAGUUUAUGUUACAAUCUGAUCAGUGCUUGUUUUAGGACACUAAGCUUGUCCUUGGGAAACCAUCAAUUUAUGUCAGCGAAGUGGUUUCCCUUCCAACGCUGACCUAUAUCAAGAUCAACUGAACGAGAUCUACAAUAUUUAUUAUAGGCACAUGCAUCGACAACCUCCCUUUUAAAGUUUUUAUAAAUAGAAAGGAAGAGGGGGUUGGAGAUCUCAAAUGUGGUGAUGUUGGAGAGACCAAUUGAUUGGGGAGAUGUUUUAUAUGAGCAAAGACUUGGUGAGGUAUUUAUGAAAUAACUUCCAUGCUCACUGUUGUUUCUCUCAUUCUCAAACUCCAAGGAUGAUUCUUCAUGAAUGCUUAAAAUUCCUCUAGGAUUGUCUCUCAAGUUUUUUUUAUCUAUCCAUUCAAUGGUGAUAGCAUAUGGAUUUUUAAUGCCCUCUAGCCAUUGAUGUUGCUCUUCUCGAUCCUCCUUGUGGUCUUGGUGACUCUUAUGCAUGGGAUGUCUAGAGAGAUUCAUAGGAUUAUCGGAAGGUUCAAGAGAAAGAGCAUAGUAGAAAUUAUUAGGCUCAAGGAUGGGUUGGAUAGCUGAAUCAUGGGAUUGGAAUGUUUGGAAAUCAGCUAUUGAAACUUUCUUUCCUCGUUUGGGAGAUGAUUCCUUCUCUAUCUCUAAGAUUUUUCUAUGAAGACUAGUACAAGAAGGAUGUCCACGAAUGAAGUCAUACCUUGGUUUACUAACAGAUAAAGAAAAAAAACUCUACCAAAGGUUAUAUGAUUAAGACCAGUGUGAAAAUAUCGAGAAAAACCAUGGUCUUGUAGGGCUAGGUCUAAACCAGAAUUUAUAGAAAGAUUAAAAGAUUCCCUAAGUGUAGCUAAAAGUUCAUUAUCUUCUUGAUUAAAAGAUAGGACCUCUGCUAUAGAAAAGGGUUGGUUUUGACCUAUUGCAAUCAACUCCGGAUAUAGAUCAUAACUAGGGGUAGGACUUGUUGACUCCCAUGGUCAAUGGCGGGUCUCCGAAGUUGCAAGGAAUUCAACAGUAGGUAUGGAAUUUGAGUUAUCCACAAAGAUGGAAAAAAUAAAAAGAUAAAAGAAUAAAAGUAUAAAAGUAUAAUACAAGAUAAUAGCAAGACUUAAAGUUAUCUCAGCAAACCGUCUUUCUCCCCGGCAACGGCGCCAGAAAUGCUUGUUGAUAUUUGGUAACACAAUAAGGAAAUGAUCCGCAAGCGCACGGAUAUCGGUGAGCAUUUCACCCGGGAGGUUAUCUAGAGUAUCGUAUUUAUAUUUUUACCACUGGGAGAAAGCGUGCAUCUGACUAACCAAAUCUAUUGCUACUACCCUUUAGGCUACAAAGAAUGUUUCUCGAUGUGAGCGAUGUAUAGAGGAGACUGCAACCGUAGUCUCGUUCUAACCUUGGUAAGGAUGAUCUACUAAUUGGAGAGGCUCACGGAAUCUAGACACCACAGAGGAUGUUCAACCCGCACCUAUAAACCCUAUCCUUCCUACUAACGAGAUAUGGUUUGCAAAGGUAACUCGGAAAUGUCACGUUCCUUGCUACUACCACGGUCCAGCUAGUCAGGGGAUAUCUAUGAGUACCCUAGCCCAAACACCACGUUUACGCUAGCAAUGAUUACUCUAAACUCAACCAGAAGAGAUUAAAGUAAACUCAUAAACCAAAGAACAAUAAAACAAGAACUUACUAGAAUUAGAAGUCGAAUUACUGAAGAAUCCUAGGAGCAAGCCUCGGGUUAGAAGACUUGAGCCCGCAGGUACAACCUCGGAGUAGACACCGACAGGCCGGGCUUCCUCUGAUCUACACCUCCACUCUAUCUCUCUCAAUCUAGUAGAAACUAGAAGAUCUAAUUCUACUCACAUUGGAUGCUAAGCCUAAAAGAAAUUUUAUUUAGAGGAGAGGUAUUCCUUCAAGGGCUCCUCUCAACUCUAUGAUGAACUUGUCUCCUCCAGGGGCCAGGGGGUCUGGUUUUAUAGUCCCCUCAAGUGAACGUGAGCCGUUGGAUCAAACCGACAUUGAUUAGACGGUUAUCCUUGAUCCUUUAGGUCGGUGGAGCUUGGUCCCCGAGAAGAGUUCUGGUUGGACUCUGGGACAGGGCGGGCGCCCAAGGGGGGAGGGCGGGCGCCCUGCCUCCGGGCCCGUUCGCCUUCCCGUUCGUUCCCGUGGCUUCUAGAGUCUUCUAGAUUACAGAAAAUUGCGCGGCACGUUAAUAUCUCUAUGUAAACCCGAUGUGUGGGCCUUUCUUCCAUAUUUCUUGAUAACCCCCUGCAGAAAUAGACAAACACCAAAACUCGUGGAAUUCUGUCAUAUAAAACCCUAAGUCUGGGUGUUGGUUGCAUUUGGAUCCUUUUCUUUAUUUAUUUGAUGAUUAUAUUUGGUACUUAAGGACCGUCAACAAUGGAUACCGUUGUAGCUUUCACCCAGAGGUUUUAAAUAUCAUAUCCAUAGGGAAACGUGUGAAACUAACUACGAUCUAACUCAACAAAAGGAGUGAUAACUAGGUGGAGAUGGAUGAUAACUAAGAGUAGCAACAAGGUUAGGAUAAAUAGGAGCAUAAAAAGGAUAACUAUGGAUCCUCUACUUCUAACUUAGGUAAACUAUAUUUUCUAUUGUCCAACUUUGGCGGAUGUCUUAUAAUUAAAGAACAUAUGAAAUUUCUUCUCUACAAGCACCAUAAAACCUGUCAAUCGUAUUAAUGGAAUAGUGGACUACAGAGGACUCAACGGGUCUAUCACACCCGUGAUCUACCAUAGAACUCCAAAAAAUAGGGGACCUUUAUGAUUAACCUAAGCCCAAGCACCACACAUACACCUAACCUUAAUACUCUACUCUCUUUAGUUGCACAAAUAAAGCACUCAAAAGAGUCACAAACAAUUGAACAAUAUAGACAAAGUAAACUUAGAUCAAAAGUUGAUUACUAGAGAAUCUCAAAGAAAAGCUCAAGUACAACUUGGAUCCACUGAAGUAGAGGUUGUAGAGGGAGCACCUACAGGCCAGCACAUCCUCUAAACUCUUCCCUCACUCUUUAUCUCUCUAUUUCUAUUCAUAAGACUAGAUCCUAUGAAGAUCUAAUCUUCUCUUGAUGGCUAACUCUAGGAGGUAGAUCCAUUCAUGGGACCCCUCUCUUGAUCCUAAUAGACGAAUAUGAAUUAGGGUUUUGGGACUGCUCUAGGGAGGGGGACACGGGUCUGAUUAUAUAGCCCGGUGGGAUGAACGUGAGGUCUUGGAUCAAACCAACUUUGAAACAUGGUGGAGAUGCAUCGUAGGAGGUGGUGGAGGAAGCUUUUGGAAGCAGGAUGCGAGACGGUGCAGGGAUAGGCUGGCCGACUCUUGGGUGGGACCGACUGGCCCCACUUUGGGCUCUUUCGGGGCUCGCAUUUGCAUGGUGUCUUCUUGAUCCUUCUAGAGUCUUCUCUCAUAAUUUUCAUAAAUUAAAUCGGUUGGUUUAUUUGACGAAUAGAUCCUCCUUGAUUGUUUUUCAGAAAAAUCCUAUAGAAAAUAAUAAUUCACCAAAACAAACCCUAAACUUAUGUAGAUUCAUUCUAUUGUAUCAUUUAUCAUGUUUAUUCAAUUAUAAAUUGUUGACAUUAUCCACCGACAACAUCUAUGUCACACUUCCUUUCUUCAUUACUCUUACGCACAUCUAGAGUCGAGAGAUAAUUUGUAACUUAGUGCUUAGAAUCCAUAUGAAUCGAUCAUCUUUGUAACUUAGUACUCAAAAUCCAUAUCAAUCAAUCAUCUUAGUCAUACGCUUUCCUUGAACAUAUAAAUAUGGUGCCUAUACUCCUAAGUGAAGUGAUGCAUCGAUUUUAUUAUCUUGGGGAAUUAUCAUUUUGAGAAUAAGACAUACCAACAUCUUGACCUUUCAGAGGCAUAGGCUUGUCAUGGCUCGUAGACGUAGUGGCUACUCCACCCCCUUUGAUACGCUGUUGCACCUUUUGUAGAUCCCACGAUGGUGCUAGAACAGUAUUUGUGUGGUGAUUAUAUUAAAAUGUGUUUAUAGAUUAUGAUGCUAACAUUAGCCUAGUCAAAGAAAGGGGUACCUCUUUCUUGAAAAGCUCUUUGUUAUCGUAUAUAAGUUUUAUUCUAAGGUCUUUGUUAUCUAUCAUGUAUGUAAUUUUAUUUUAAGGUCCUCAAAAUGAUUCUAUGUCUAAAAGUUUGGAUGGACAUAUCUAAAAGUAAGACAUAAAUGGCUACAAAACCUAACCUUGUGAUCUGGACCUAUAGAAGAUGUGGUCAUAGUUGGGACUGCCUUGCUUCUUCACCUUGAACUUCAACAAUGUGUGGCGCCCACACUUGUUGCACUCAGUGAGAGGGAACUACAGCCUCAAUCGCUAACCAUUGGAGGCAAAUGGCCUGGACAGGUACGCCAUCUAUGGCAAGGAACACUAACUGGGUCUCCCUUUGAAUCCACGAUGACAAGGGUGACAGCUGCCUUGCUUCAUUGUGAUAAGGUGAUAAGGAUGAGAGAUUGAGGAUAAAUUGGUCAACAUCGUACACAUUGGCAAAAAUAAAAGGCAUAGACUGGUUGUAUGUCACACCCAAUUUCAAGGAAGAAAUUGAAUGCAUAAACUUAUGUGUGCCCAGGGAUCAAUCACACACAUAAAUUACAAAUUAAAUAUUAUCUUCGUAGUGUUUACAUCAAAUGUAGUCAUAACAACAUAAAGUGUGGUACAACAAAGGAAUAUAAAUAAGAUAAAUCUAAGAUAACUCUCUCUUGGCCCCCACACACUGAAGGUCGACUGAUGAAGCACAAGCCUAAUAAUCCUCCACGUAGUCCUCAUAGCUACCAUCAUCUAUUACCCAUCCGGGAUUUUUAUCCACAAAGAAGUAUAAACAAGCGUGAGUACAUCUCGUACUCCAUAAGCAUAGCAUGAGGAUUCAUGAUGCUCAAAAAGGCUAAACUAGGUUUACUACAUCAGCAUUUUAGUAGGUCAGUAUUUUAACAUUAAUUAUUAUUAAGUUACGCUUAAGCUCCGAAUUAACCCAUAUGAUCAGUUGUUAGAACCAUAGUAAAUCUGUUGAUGCAAAAGCUGAUCUGCAAACACAAAGGGCUAAUACCCGGUUUAAAUGUUAAGGCGUGCGAGCCGAUUUGACCUUACUAUCGGCAAAGGUGAUAACUCGAAUACUUUGGUCCCGACAACAGCGAUGCGCUCCGAUGCCACGGCCAAGAGGUAUUCACGCGGAACUCGAGAAUACGCCGAGCUUAAGUCGACGAACUUCUAAGAACUCGUAAUGAAAAGGAAAAUAUGACGAAGUCAUCGAAAAAGUAGAUGCUGGAAUAUGAGUAAAAACUUGUGUUUGAUUGAUUGAUAGAUUGUCCCAUUACAAGGCCCCAGGGUCUACAUUUAUACCCUGCUUAAAGAGCUGUAAUCAGACACGACUAGGACUCGAAUUCCAAAUUAAACAGAAUCCGUAUACAAAACUAUUUAAAUAACUAAGGAAAGCACAAAACUAUCCUCCCGUGACAAACUGGGACACCACCAUGGACCAAUCGGGAACCUUCACGUUCUCCUUCCGAGUCAUCAGCAGACUCCUCAUCACAGCCAUCGGCAAAGGCUAAUGCUGAUCAUCAGCAUGAACGCGUCACCACUUAUGGACUUAGCCAUAUUCAGCUGUCUCUUCAUCCGCAACCACCUUCAUCGGCAACUCCCCUGCAAACCAUUUACUGUUGUCCUAUCUUGCCGAUCUGUACUCUACCGAUUCCUGGGUACGUGUCCAAAAACGGUGUCAACACAUGCCCCCCAAUUUCGGAGUAUAAAAUCAUUAAUGCUCCCAAAUUCUCUGCAGUAAUGAUGCCUUUCCGCAAUUAAUCCUCUCAAUUUGGUAACCGACCGUUGAAGCCGAACAACUCUGGCCCGAUUCUUCCGCAGAUUCCUCGAAUUCCUCAACCUCCCAAACUGGACAUCUCCACUUUAUUCGCCCAUUGGCAAUAUUACCAUUAGAGGGAGCUGCCGAUGGACCGACCAGGAAAUCCCGCACAUUGAAAUAUCUCCAGAUUAUGGAUGCUUCCUGUCAAAUCACCUGCGCAAUCCCUUGAUUACCGUGCGAACAGUUACCAUAUCCACCUGAGUAUCCUCGGAUUUCACGGAUACGGCAAAGAGAUAAGUCAAAUUUGCCCUUUGCCCGUUUUGUCCUAUAAAUAGUUCCUUCUCGGGUACUCCUUCUCCAUCGCAUCAUUCUACAGCCCAACUCUGCUUUUCUGGCGGCGGCACUGUUCGAGAGCUCCAAAAACUCCAACAAGAACCUCCUCCAACAACCCCAAGUUCUCAAUCUUCUCUCCUGCGAGGAGAUGGCCAUCAACUUCGUCGUUCCUGAGGUCAGCGUACUGCUCUUUUUCCUGCACUUUCAUUGUAUCCCCGUUUAUCCGCAGUCUAUCUUACCGAAUUCUUUUUUCUUUUUGUUCUUCUUUUCGCUCCCAAAAAUUUCUAGGAUUUGGCCAAUAAAAUCGUUAUUCCUACCGAUCAACCCCACCUUCAAUGCCUUGGUCCACUAGGAAACUUGGAUCCCACCGAUCUUAUAAAUGCGGAGACAAACAGAAUCCCUUUUAGAGCCGAGAAUUUCUCUUUAGAUCUAUGGAAGGAUGCUUUUUGUUCCUAGCCCAAUCCUAUCAAGGGAUGGAAGGAUUGGUUCCUGAGAGUCAGUAACUCAAAUGAGGUCCAAUGGGGUGAACGGAAACUGGAUCAAUGCAUUAGAUUGUCUCUUGCCGAUAUGGAGAGAAACGAGUCGCUAGUGAUAGCUGCCUCAUACUUUUGGUCAGACACACUUAACGCUUUUGUUUUUGGCCAUGGCCCUCCUUCCCCCACUCUUACCGAUGUGCCUAUGCUCACUGGCUUAGAUGUAUCCACUGCUGAUAGUAGUCACAUAUUUGACACCCAACCUAGCGCUAAGGUGGAAACUCGCUCUAUCGGUGGCUGGUCUGGGUACAUUCAGAAGUACCGUAAAACAGGGCCUGUCGACAUAAAGGAACAGACCACCUUCCUAAACAUGUGGUUAGACAAAUUUGUAUUCUGCGGUCGAUCGGCAGGACCAACCUCCGUUUACCUAUCGGCAGCAGAGAGAUUAGCCAAUGGUGGCCGAUUUCCCCUCGGCCGAUACCUGCUUGGUUCUGCCUAUCAUCUUCACCACCAAGUAGCCCAGAAACUACUGCUUGGUCAACCCAUCGGCAACUUAGGGGGCCCUUGGUGGUUCAUCAACAUGUGGCUUAGCCUCCAUAUGCACAAGCGACUGGAAUUUGACCUCUUUGCACAGCGUUUCCCCAGGGAUAUAGCAGAGGAUCAUGAGUUAGAUGAAGAAGAAUCGGCAACCCGUCCUCCCUUAAACUGUGGUGAAGCCAUCACAGUUUUGCCUGGUAUUGGAGGCAAAGGAGAUCAACUCAGCCGAUUCUUUCAGACUCUUUACGAGGGUCUGAACAAAGAACAGCGAGAAUGGAUGCCUUAUGAAGACUCAGACACCAGAUUUCCUCUGACCUUUCACCCCUUCGACGAUGCUCUCAAUAAAGAUCAUGAUGUGAUGAUGGCUCUUAUCACUACCAGAGCUAUACCAGUAAACUUCUUUGGUAGUGGGAAAGCCUCCAACCAGACCUAUGAAUUCUACAACCCAUCGGCACUAGCCCGUCAGCUAGCUUUCGGUCAGCUGCCGAUUGCACUCUGUUAUGCCGAUGUGAUAAAACCCAGGGAAACCAUCACUAGUCUUCUCGAGUGGACCAGAAUAGCUCAACUGCCACCAAAUGCCGACACAGAUGCCGAUCUAUCAGAUUGGAUCCCGGCCCUCUUCAUUACUUAGGCAUACAAGCAAUGGUGGGAAGAAUGGAAAGAGCAUUUGUUCUGCAAAUCGGCUCUCACGUACCUCGGCAUGAUCGACCCCCAGUACAAAGUCCCUGAUAAUACUGUAAGUAUUUCUAAACCGAUGUUUCAAUCCUUUCACUUUUAUUUCCAUCGGUAACUCACUUUUUGUGUUAUAUUAUAGGUUGAUAACACACCCCCUUCGGUAAGCAGGAGUGGUAAGCCGAUUGAGCUCCUUCCAUCGGGUCCGAUUUCUUUGAUCGGCAACAACUCUCCAUCCCUGGCCGCUAUAAUGCAUCGGGGUGUACGUCUCAAGAAAGUCACUACCAAGCGGACGAAGGCAUCUCCGUCGGUAGCUGCCUCUACCUUAGCACAAGCCUUCAAGGUAAAUUUUCAAAUUCUUUUACCCAUACUGAUUCCAUUCUUACAUCUGUUACACUUGUACUCACAAAUUUUCAUUGUUGUAUUAGCAAACUGGCACAUCGGCAAAGACCAGAGGUGUGACUGCGAUGCCCCCCAGUCCAGCCAACCAAAGAGGAAAAGCUCCAAGAGUACCAGAACCCAGGCGAAGCGCCAGAGAACAGCAAUACCUUCUCCUCCCCCAGUGUCUCCAAUCCCAGUAGCAUCAUCCUCCUCUUCUCCAGAAAUCCAGACACAGCAGAUUCCAUCUCCUCCUCAGUCACAAGAAGAACUCCAACUGGAAGAGCUCCAGCCAGAGGUACCUCAGCCAGAAGAAAUACCGGCUGAUGUACACGAGCAGACCACCGAUUCAGCAAACCUAGUCACAGCAUCGGUAGUCUCCUCGAUUCAAACAAGCACUGCACCCCCUCCAGGUAACAUACUUUCCAUUUACUGCCGAUGAACCUGUUUUUCCACUUUAUUAAUCACUUCUGUCAAUCUUUCAGCUGACAAAGUUUCAUCGGCAAUCUCAGCCGAUCAGCCCAUGAUUCCAUCGGCGUCAUCCAGUCAGAGGCGAGAGAGGGCCUUGAAGCAAGUAAGUUACCUAAUCUCUAUCUGUAUUGUUUAUCAGUGCUUGAUCAUAGAAUAACUUAUUUUAUUUUCCUUUUCAGGAACAGGACUCUCCUGAUAGCUUGUUUUCUUUUGCCAUCGACAUCUCUGAGGAUGAAGGCGAGGAGGCAAGUUCUUCUCGAGCUAUCGGAAUCUCAUCGGCAGAAAUCGGAGCAAAGUUAGAAGAAUUGUCGGCCCUCCUUCAUCAAGACACGGCCCAAUUGGUUGACGAUUCCGAUCUAGCCAAGGCCUUGUUCAAGACUCUCAAUCGAAACUCUUGAACAAGAGCGAAACAUCCAGGCUCGUAAAGCACUGCAGAUGAAGAAGAAGCUGAAGCCGGUGGAGGGCUCUGCCGAUGAUGACAUGAAGGAGAUAGAAGAAGCCAACCAGAUCCGUCUACGCGCCAUAUCAAUGAUCUAGGCUUUGUUAAACAUCUGAAUUCUUCAUCGGCGGCAUAUUUGCCCUUUUCUUUUGAACACUCCUAAUAUUUUGCUCUAGCCGAUAGGACUGUUAUCGGCACCUUUUAAACGUUAAGUCCGGCCCCAGAUAUAGUUUAAUCCAGCCGAUAGGAAUGUUAUCGGCACUUAAUACUUUCAUGCAUCGACCCAUAUGCUCGGGUAAUAUUUCUUUAGAUAUUUGCCAUUUAAUGCCCUCGGAAAUUCAACUCCUUCGAGAGUUUCUAAGAUAUAGGCGUUGCCAGGAGCAGAUCGAUUUAUCCGAUAGGGACCCUCCCAAUUAGGAGACCACUUCCCAAAUUUUGAACUUUUAGUCCCGAUCGGUAAGACUAGCUUCCAUACUAAGUCUCCAUCGGCAAACUCCUUAGCUUUUACCUUCUUAUCAUACCAUCUAGCAACUCUCUUCUUAUUUUCUUCUAUACUCAUCAGAGCCCUUAGCCGAUGCCCUGCUAGAUCAUCCAACUCGUCUGUCAUCAAAGCAGCAUAAUCAUCGGCAGCCAAUUGAUCUUGAAAAGAUAGUCGCCUAGACCCAGUCUUAAUUUCCCAAGGUAACACUGCAUCAUGCCCAUACACCAACUGAUAAGGUGAAACUUUGGUCGACCCAUGACAAGCCAUCCGAUAUGACCAUAAAGCUUCAUUCAACAAUGUAUGCCACCUCCUAGGAUUUUCUUCAAUCUUCCGUUUAAUAAGCUUGAUGAUUCCUUUGUUAGAUGCCUCGGCCUGCCCAUUAGCUUGAGCAUAAUAAGGAGAAGAAUUUAAUACUUUAAUUCCCAUACCGAUUGCAAACUCAUCACUCCCCUGAUGUAAACAUAGUACCCUGAUCGGUAGUAAAUGUUUGAGGAAUUCCAAAUCGGUAUAUAAUAUGCUCUUUCACAAAAUCAAUCAUAUUGGCCGAUGUAACUUUCUUCAAAGGAAUAGCUUCAACCCAUUUGGUCAAAUAAUUAGUGGCAACCAAAAUAAACUUAUGUCCUUUGCUGGAUGGUGGAUAAAUCUGGCCGAUCAAGUCAAUAGCCCAUCCUCGGAACGGCCAAGGUUUAAUAAUGGGAUUCAUGGCCGAUGCGGGUGCCCUUUGAAUGUUGCCAAACUUCUGACAUCCUUGACACCCUUUGAAAUACUUAAAACAAUCCUCAAGUAUAGUCGGCCAAUAAUACCCAUUUCUUCUCAUCAUCCACUUCAUCUUAAAUGCCGACUGAUGUGCUCCACACACUCCCACAUGGAUCUCUCCCAUCAAACUUCUAGCCUCAUCAUUACCUAAGCACCUAAGAAGAAUUCCAUCAAUAGUCCGAUAAUAUAACUCAUCUUCAAGGAGCACAUACUUGGUAGCUUGAAACCGAACACGUCUCUCAACUUUCUUGGACGGGUCCUUUAAAUAAUCAAUGAUUUCUUUUCUCCAAUCAUCGGCACUGAUUGCCGAUACUGCGUUUAUCAUGGGCUGAUAUCCCGAGGCAUGCUGAGCCAACCGAUUGGCCUCAUCAUUAUGCAACCGAGGAACAUGCUCUAAUCAGAAAUCCUUGAAUUCCUUUAACAGUUGCAUACUCCUUUCGUGAUAAGUUAUCAGGACUUCGCUUCGGCACUCAUAGCUUCUAGCCAAUUGAUUUAUAACCAGCAUAGAAUCCCCGAAGAUUUCAACAGCAUCAGCAUGAACUUCCCUUAGUAAUUCCAACCCCUUUAUCAAAGCUUGAUACUCAGCUUGAUUAUUUGUUGACGUGGCAACAAUCGGCAAGGAGAACUCAUACUUCCUUCCCCGAGGGGAAAUUAACACUAUGCUGAUCCUUGCCCCCCGGUCACACAUGGAUCCAUCAAAGAAGAGCGUCCAAGGUACAAUUCCCAAAGUCUCCACUGUACCGCAAUGUUGAGUUACAAAAUCAGCCAUAAUCUGUCCCUUAACCGCUUUAGCCGAUUCGUAACGCAAAUCGAAUUUCGAUAGCGCCAAAAUCCACUUACCGAUCCUGCCACUCAUAAUCGGCAUAGACAGCAUAUAUCGGACCACGUCAUCUUUGCAUAUGACAGUGCAUUCAGCCGAUAACAAAUAGUGUCUCAACUUAAUACAUGAGAAAUAAAGACACAAACAUAACUUUUCAAUGGCCAAAUACCUGGUCUCAGCAUCAACCAAUCUCCUGCUUAAAUAGUAAAUCACACGUUCCUUCCCUUCAAAUUCUUGAAUUAAAGCCAAACCGAUGACCAUCCCAUCGGUAGACAAAUAUAACUUGAAGGGCUAUCCUUGUUGAGGUGGAAUUAGAACUGGAGGAUUUACCAAAUAAUUCUUGAUUUCAUCUAAGGCCAACUGUUGCUCUUUCCCCCAGACGAACUCUUGAUCGGCUUUCAUCUUAAGUAAAGGACUGAAAGCAUGAAUUUUACCAGACAAAUUAGAUAUAAACCUCCUGAUAAAAUUUACCUUGCCGAUCAAGGAUUGGAGUUCAGUCUUGUUGGUAGGAACAACUAUUUUGUUGAUAGCAUCAAUGGAUCUCCGGCUAAUUUCAAUCCCCCUUUGAUGCACCAUGAAACCAAGGAAUUGUCCUGCCGAUACACCAAAUGCACACUUAUUGGGAUUCAUCUUUAAACCAUGAUUCCUUGUGCAUUCUAACACCUUUCGCAAAUUGGCGAGAUGCUUUGUGAAGUCUCCAGACUUAACCACCACAUCAUUAAUAUAAAUUUCCACCAGUUUGCCGAUGAAUUCAUGAAAUAUAAAAUUCAUAGCCCUCUGAUAAGUAGCACCAGCAUUUUUCAAGCCAAAGGUGAUGACUAUCCAUUCAAACAACCCAACAUGACGAGGACAUCUAAAUGCAGUCUUUGGAAUAUCCUCUUCAGCCAUGAAUAUCUGAUUGUAUCCUGCAUUGCCAUCCAUAAAGCUGAUGAUCCGAUGUCUAGCCGCAGCAUCAACUAGUAGAUCGGCAACUGGCAUUGGAUAGCCAUCCAUCGGUGUAGCUUUAUUAAGAUUUCUGAAGUCAAUGCAGACCCGAAGCUUCCCAUUUUUCUUGUAAACCGGAACAACAUUGGAAAUCCACUCGGCAUACCGACACUGCCGAAUAAAUUUAGCUUCAAUAAGUUUGGUUAUUUCAGCCUUAAUAUCAGGAAGAAUAUUAGGAUUACAUCGGCAAGCUGGCUGUUGAUGUGGCCGAAAUCCAGACUUGAUAGGCAACCGAUGUUCAACAAUCGAUUGGUCCAAACCAGGCAUCUCAGUAUAAUCCCAAACAAAGCAAUCUUUAUAUUCUUUUAACAAAUCGGUUAAUUGCCGCUAACACUCACAUUAACUUAGCACUAAUAAAAGUCGGUCUAGGCUUAUCACCACUACCUAUAUCUACUUCUACCAAAUCAUCGGCCGAUGUGAAUCCCUGGCCCAAUUUUCCAUCAUCGGCGAACCUAUCCAUUAAAAACCUUCAUCAGAACCGACUGCUUGGAUCGGUGGAAUUUCAUAAUCGGCAACUUUGAGAAAAUCCUUCUCCCAAAUUUCUCCCGAGAUACACCUAGUCCUUUCAUAAGUGUCUGCUUCUGCCGAUGCAAUGACAUAAGAAGAAUCCCCCGGGACAAUCUCAAUCUUGUCACCUACCCACUGGACCAAGCACUGGUGCAUUGUAGACGGAUGCAACAAUUGGCAUGAAUCCAAUCUCUCCCUAACAGCAAGUUAUAAGCACCUUUUUCGCUGAUCACGAAGAAAGUUGUCAGCAAGGUUUUGCUACCGAUGGUCAACUCGACGCAUAUUGCCCACUUAACCGGAGACACGUUUCCCUCGAAAUCCUUUAACAUCAUAUCAGUCUUGGUCAAAUCUUGAUCCCCUUUUCCAAGCUUCCGAUAUACUGCAUACGGCAUGAUGUUGAUAGCGGCUCCACCAUCAAUUAAUAUCUUCGUCAUUGGCUGACCAUCAACCCUUCCUUUGACAAACAAAGCUUUAAGAUGCUGCCUUUCAUUGUCGGCAGGCUUUUCAAAGAUAGCCGUCAUCGGAUCUAGAGCCAACUGAGCUAUCUGGUCUGAAAACUCCAACUCCUCAUCAUCGCUGGACGGCGCAAGGAAUUCCAUCGGCAACAUAAAUACCAUGUUGACAUCUGCCGAUGGCCCUUUCCCCUUAGGAUCUAAUUGUUGCUGAUCCCCAGACUGGCCAGAGUUCUCGCCCUUGCUUAGCUCUUCUCAUCUUUCGCGCUGCAGUCUUCUUUUCUGUGUUUUAGUCAACCCCUCUGGACACCAGGGGGAAGUGGUGACUGCCUUUCCGAUGGACGACGAUGUUCCCUUGACUCCAUCCGAUAAGUGUUAGCGUCCCUGCAAAAUAUGAACUCAUCGGGAACCCGUGCAUUAGCCAUCUCCUCAAGCUCUUCCUAGUUACUGGGAAAAUAUUCAACACGAUCACCAAGUCUAUCGUGCACACUGAGCCUGCCCCCUAGUCGAUCAUGAACCGACGCUUUUCCCCUAAUCGGCCUAUUAAAUCACCGAUCAUCAUUAUGAUAGCGCCGGUCGUAUCUGUCAUACCGAUCACAACCGUUGCACUCAGGGCAAUCCCUAACAGUAGGCAACUUGAUGUUCUGCUCCCAGCAAUGGAUAAAGAAUGGGCAGUUCCAAUGAUCCUUGUGCCGAUUCCACUCCUGUCGGUGUCUUUCUUCUUCCUGAUGAUAGUUUUCUUGCUAGCGCCGAUACCGAUGCUCACGUUGCUGCCAAGUUUUCCGAGGCCUUCUGUGAGUUAUCAGAAUACCAGAUCGGGGAGGCCUUCCCGAGUUAAUCCCCUCCUGGAUCAAGCCUUUUCCUUUUGCAUUGGCAGUAGUAAUCUGAUGCUGAGGAUCCACCGAUGCACUUCUUUCAGCUGCUUCCGAUGUCAAGACCUUGGCCUUUCCCUUAGCAUCCAGCAUAUUUGUUGGGAAAGGAUGUUGAUCAAUCUUCAUCGGCUUCUGAGUUUUGGAGCUAUCAAAUUUGAUCCUCCCAGAUUCUGUAGCCGAUUCCAGCUGUUGUCUAAAAACUUUUGCACUGCAUUGGUGCUGUUAGAGGUUGCAUUAUGCCACUUGCAGUAUUUCAUCUUCUUUAACUCUUCAGCCGAUGGAAUCACAUGAUUGGGCGACAACUUGAUCUGGCCUUCCUAAAGUAGAAAGUCAAACAUCCUAUCGGCCUUGGUGAUAUCAAAUGCAAACUUCUCUGGCUCCUUAUGCCCGAAAGGACAAGACAUCGGCUUCUUAUUCUUUACCCAUUCUGCCAAGCCGAUGACUGGUUCUUCAUCAGAAUUUGAGCUUGCUGCCUCAUCAACAAAUGACACCUUUUUGUUCCAAGCCCUCUUAGGUUCAAAGGGCUUAAUAUCCUGGUCGGAAAUCCUCUGGACCAAGUGACUCAGGCUCUCGAACUCUUGAGAAGCAUAUUUGUCUCCGAUAUGUGGCAACAAACCUUGGAAAGCCAAAUCAGCUAGCUGCCGAUCAUCUAAAACCAGACUAUAGCAUUUAUUCUUGACCUCCCGCAACCUCUGCACAAAACUUUCAAUCGAUUCAUCAUUACGCUAUUUCAAUCUAACCAAAUCAGUUAUCUUCUUCUCAUGAACUCCAGAAAAGAAGUACUUGUGGAACUGCUUCUCUAGAUCGGCCCAAGUAAUCACCGAGUUGGGACGUAACGAAAUAAACCAGGUAAAAGCCGAUCUAGACAAAGACGAUGAAAACAAAUGAACCCUGUUUGUAGCUUCUCCACACUGGAUGAUGAACCUGUUGACAUGCUCCAUGGUUGACGUAUCAUCCUGCCCAGAAAAUAUAGUGAAAUCCGGUACCUUGUACCGAUUUGGAAGUGGAAUCAAAUCGUAUGCAGGAGGAUACGGUGUCCGAUAAGAGUAAGUGUUGACUUUGGGUUUUAUCCCAAAUUGGUCCCUCAUUACUUCAGCUAUCUUAUCGGCCCAAUAGGCAUCAGUAUCUUGUCGAUGGGGCGGUUGUGGAUCUGGUGCCUGCGGAUACACUUCCACAUGUCGAUGAGGCGCACGAUCUGCAUGGAACAUGGGGUUGAUUGUCUGACCACCAAACUGUUGACCAAGAUUCAUCGGCUGGUUGGGCAACCCUUGAUUGUGGAACCCGGGGUAGAUCUGGCCUUGCUGGAACCCUGAAGCUUGAUGAUUCUGUUGGGGCAUUUGUGGAAAGACUUGCUGCACAGGCCAUCCACUAUUGGCAUUCAUCGGUAUAGGUCCUGCCGAUGACUGGUAAUUGGGCAUCAUCAUUGAAUUGAUAUACCCUGGCUGAGUCAUAAACCUCUGCUGCGUCGGCAUUGAAUCUGCUGAUGCGUUAGGCAUCUAGAAUGUUGGAGCUUGAGAAUUCCCAGUGUAAGGUCUCGUAGUAGUAGUUGUAGUAUACUGGGGACUCUGGUUCAUCGGCAUAUUUGGAGGUGCCGAUGCCAUAGGAGCCUUGCCUCUCAUAUCAGCCGUUUGAGAUGUAUAGGUGUCUUCAACAUGAACUCUAGAGGCAUACCAAAACCCCACCAAUUAGGAGGAAUAGAUCCCAACAUUGCCGAUGCCAAUAGGUCUGUGGUGAGCUUGAUCGACUCAUCUGAUGUUGAUGUAUUGGCCGGCAUUGGCGUGGAUUAAGCGUUAGUGACUCCUAACGUGCUUGGAGGAACAGCUGUUUCUGCGCCCGCAGCGGCUGUCGCAGCCGAUGGAGCUGUGACAACUGGUGACCCCGGCUGAUGAUGAGAAGGACUGUUGGGUAUUUUAAACGCAAACAGAAAAAUCCGCAAGCGCACGGAUACCGAUGUAGCUUUCACCCGGGAGUAUUCCAGAGUAUCGAUUUUCCACAGAGAACGUGAGUGUACUAAUUAAGAUCCAAGAUCGCCCAAGGAUAACUAUAUAAGUAUUUUUGGUGGGAAGAGAGGAAGUUUCCUGAGAGUUCUCUAGUUGAUCUAAGAAUCAAGAAUUACUUCAAGAUUAUCUAUAUCGGGACAUCAGAGCACUAACCACAGAAAGAAAUGAGAAGGGGGCUAGGAAGGUCUGACUACGGUCCUACAAACACCGAUCCGAACGAGGUGGAAUACGUCGACCGUUAGGGUUGUCACUACCCUAAGGCUACCACAACAAUCCGCAGGAUUGGGUGCAAUUCCAGGUAAUCGCAAGACUAAACACCACGUCUAAUCUAUUAAUUACUACUCUAGCGUUAUAAAGACUAGAGCACUUGAUGCAAGCGGGAAUCCAAUAAAUAACUUGAAUGUAAAUAAAAGUAAUUAAAGAACUCAGGAAUUAUGAAUUGAAGAACUUGGAGAACGAUGAAGAACGAACCAGUUGCUGCAAAAGUAUAAUGUUGAGGAAGAUCCGACAGAUCCGGCUCCUCCUCCGCUCUCCUCUUCUCUCUCCCUAUUUUCUAGAUUACAACUAGAACUAACUAGAACUAGAACUAGAGGAACUAGAACUAGAACUAGAUGAACUAGAACUAGAUCUAGAUGAACUAGAGGUAGAACUAGAAGAACUAGAGGGAUCCUCUCUACUUGGAUGAAGAAUUGAAACCCUAGCUUUUCUGUAGAAGAGGUAUGAUCUCCAGGGGCCAGGGGGUCUAGUUUUAUAGUCCCUUCAAGUGAAUCUGGGCUGUUGGAUCAAACUGACAUUGAUUGAACGGUUAUUAUUGAUCCUUUAGGUCGGUGGAGCAAUAUCCUGAAAGAGAGUCCUGAUUGGACUCUGGCUGAGGGCGGGCGCCCUCAGAACUAGGGCGGGCGCCCUGUCCCUGAGGCCUCUCGUCUUCCGCUUUGUUCCCGUGGCUUCUGGAGUCUUCUAGAUGAUAGAAAAUUGCGCGGCACGUUAAUAUCUUUAUGUAAACCCGACGUGUGGGCCUUUCUUCCAUAAUUCCUGAUAACCCCCAGCAGAAAUAGACAAACACCAAAACUUGUGGAAUUUUGUCAGAUAAACCCCUAAGUCUAGGUGUUGGUUGCAUUUGGAUCCUUUUCUAUGAUUAAUUGAUGGUUAAUUGUGAGCAUUAAGGACCGUCAACAAGCUCCCCCAAGCUUAACCUUUGCUCGUCCCUGAGCAAAGAUGGACUCAAGAGUUUCUGCAGUGGUUUCAUGCCUUAAAGAUACACAUGUGUUCAAACAAGAUCUCAUCUCUAGGUUAGGGUAAACUGUUAAGAUUUAAACUUACUCAUUUUACCUUCCACCAUGGGGCUUGUAACCAUCACUUGUGUCUUGAGCAGUUAAAAGAUAGAACGGUCUAGUCAAGCACCUUGUCUCUUGUUCUUCGAUUAACUAUAGCUCUGGAGUUUUUGCAGAUUUUCAAAUAAAACUCAGAGAUUCCUUGUAUGACUCUCUCUAGUCUCUCUUUUGUGGUAUUUCUGGAUCCUUACCAAGGCAGUAAUGGUGUACGCCUUCUCUCAAAGUAUGUGGUAUUUGUGGUAUAAGGCAUAGUGACAUUGCCUUCUCUCUCACCCUACUCUAAUAAGGUUUUGAUAUAUGGAGCUCAUAGGUGGGAGACAGCUAAUACAUACUUACAAGACAUUUAUUGCAUAGUCAAACCAUGGAUCCAAAGUAACAAGUCAAUAAGUCAAAUCAAGAUGUGCAUGUGUGGCGAAUGAAUGGUGUAUGGUGAUGAUGGUGAUAACAAUGGUGAAAGUCUAAUUCUACUUGUGCUCUUUUGAGGGGAUACAUACCUUUCUUGCUCUUUUAAAACUUUUUGAGGAGAAUGAGAUGCUCUAUAUUUUUUUUCUUUUCUCUCAGGUGGGUAUCUUGUACCCCUAAUUCUACUAUCGAACACUUGUCCAUUUUUACCUCUCGUCUCACUUUUUCUUUUCUUUCGAGGUUCCGGGCACUUGCCCCUUUUUAUUUCCUCGUAUCUAUUUUUUUUUCUCUCUUUUUUUUUAUAUUAGAGCACUCAUCUCCUGAAAUAAUAUAGCAAGUGGUAGUAACCAAGAUAACUUGAGCAUUUAUUUCACAGGGGAAAACAGAAAUGUUUUUGGUUAUUCUCUCCCUGAUUAGGAGUAGAAUAUUUUUGGGUGGUUUUGGAGAUGGAAAUGGAUGGAUAUAUGUGGAUGCGUACUUCUAGAGUAGAAGCAGCAUGUAUGAGUGAACGUGCAAGUGAAUCUUGAUUUAACCACAUGACAAGCUCCUAAGGGUCUACACAGCUUGACCAUACUCAAUGCUCAUAAGCAGUAAAAAGUACAUGUGUGGUUCAUAGUCUAACAAGCAUGUAUAUAUGGCUGUGGUAGGAAUUUAAACUCUCAUCAUACAGGAACUCAUCAUGCAGCAUUUUAAAGAUUUUCAAAGAUAAAAUUCUCCAGAAUUCUAGCAUCUCUAGGAACAGACAAACAGCAGCUCAACCUUCCCAUAUCAUAUCCGUUAACGACUUAGACUUUAGAUCAAGUACUCUUCCCACAAGUUCAGGUUUAGAGCAAAUUUUAAUUCAUAACAGUCAUGCCUAAACUUGAGAGAGAUUUCAAUUUUUAGAACUAAUCAUGCCAGAGCAACUAUUCAUCAUUUCCAUGUGAGAGCUUAUCAUGAGGGUUCAUAGCAGACUUUAUUUAUUUAUUUAUUUAGCAAACUAAGCAAAGAUAUAUAUAAGCACAAAAUCUUUAUUUGGGUUUCUAUGAUUAUGCAUCUUUUUAUUAUUAGAGUAAAGUAUAACCAUGAAUAGAAACACUUAGCUGGAUAAAUGGGGGUGCUCUCCCCCAAGCUGGAUUUUGACGUAGUUUCUCCUGAUGUAGCUAGCAAGUGGUGGAGGUGUAUUUGAACGUCAGCAGCACCGUGACAGCGAUUAGGAUGUCCUCCGUCUGCUAGUCUUCUUUGAUCCUUGAAUUCUGUGGAGCUCAAAUAGACAACAAAGCUUUGUGGAACUAGUUAAGUGUUAGCAUAAAUAUCUAGCCUUUAUCAUGUUGAGCCUCCUCAAUAAAUGUUACUCUCUUUAGUAGGAUCAUAAAUUUAUUUUUAUAUUUUCAUUUUUAUAGGACAGGAAUAUAUUUAUUUUAUUUUUACGCCACCAUAGUGAAUGUACUUAUGUGUUUUAUGCCAUGAGCAUACUCACAUGGGGCUUACUAUUUUUAACAUUUUUAUUUUAUUUUCAAGAUGAUAUGAACCUGAUUAACUAAAAUAAUUGAAAGGAAAAAGAUAACUACCAAGUUUACCUCUUGGCAAGGCGUUCGGUGUUUUUAAGUCCUCCGAACGGGACUCUCCAUAUUCUCAGUCGUCCUGGGAUUCGCUGGAUGGCGUAGUCGGUGGUUCCGGCGGCGCCUGCUCUUCAUGUAUAACUAUCUUCUUUCUCCACACCUGACUCGGUGCUACGGUCUCCUCACGACAGUUCUGUUCAAGUUGUAUGUCUUCAGACCUUAUCACUUCUCCUUUGUAGUCUGACCAUCCGUCUUUGAUGAUUUGCCUCCUCUGGUUGCGGUUGCGUCGUCUUCUUCUUGUCCUGACCUGCUUAGAAUCUUCAACUAUAUAGUUAGGGUCAGUAAAAUGGCGGCGUACCUUCUCAGAGGUGAAGUGCAUGUGGACUUCUCUAGAUCCAAUGUAGAUGAUUGCUUUAACAGUGCUGAGGAACAGUCUCCCAAUGGUGAUGGGUGGAUUGUACUCGUCUUCUCCCAUGUCAAUAACCUUAAAAUCUUUCGGAAUGUCUGAUCUGCCAUCUGGAGCUGAAUGUAUGUCGGUUUUAGGGGCAUGGUUCCGAACAGGAGCUAAUAGGUGACUGGGUCGUCCUUUUUGGUUAGGAAUGGUGACUUAAGUCGCCGAUCUUGACCUCCUUAAACUGUAGUGACCAUCUUAGCUGACUUGGUCCACAUUUGCUUAUUCCUGUUGCUCCUGUUGGUCCUCUUCCUUGGUUCAUGUUGGGAUUGCUCUGAGAUUUGUGUAGUCUUGUUCUCGAUGAAAACGUCUCCUUCAUCCCCUUGAUGUAGAAACUAAUAUUGGCAGCACUAGCGUAGAUGACAGCUCCCGAGGUGUUCAGGAAUGGCCUCCCUAAGAUGGGUGCCCUCUCAUCAGUACCAGUCUCUAUCACCACAAAGUUUGCUGGGGCGUACAAGGUACCAACUCAGACGUAGAGGUUCUUCAAUAUUCUCUUUGGGAAACUUAGCGUACGAUCUGCAAGCUAAAAACACAUGGCUGUUUCUAAUAAAGGAUGUGUAAAGAAUUUUUCAUAGAGUACCCUAGGCAUAAUGUUGACGCUCGAGCCAAAGUCGCAAAAUGCUUCUAGGAAGUCCACCAUGUCGAUGGAGAUCGGGAUGACGCGGCGUCCUGGAUCGUCUCUCUUGACCGGCAGAAGGUCAGUAAUUACUUCCACAACGGGGUUACUCCAGUAGUUACGUCCUCAAGCAUCUCAGGGCAGUGAUUGCCUGAGUGUCCAGUAUCUCCAGUGUGUUUAUGCUCGUAGAUCUAGGUUCUUCACUUGGUGGAGUCUAGGAGUUGUAAAAGUCCUUCAUAUUUUGCUCAAAGUGUACCUGCUCAUAGAAAGAAGGCAGAGAUCAAGUGCAUGGGCCCUGUUGGUGGAAAACACCAACAGAACCAAAAGUGUAUUUGUUCUUCUCUAACCUUA